GUGUGUGUGUGUGUGUGUGUAUGGACUCAGCAAUCUGUGUGUGUAUGUGUAUGGACUCAGCAGUCUGUGUGUGUGUAUGGACUCAGCAGUCUAUCAAUAAUUAAAAUUCCUGUGAGUUGUUGUGUAGGAAGGGCCCCAGUGCAUUGCUUUGCCCGGGGGCCCUUAACUCUGUUAAAAUGGUACUGCUUGUGUGUGUCAGUGAACUUCUAUUUAGUGAGCAUGUGUGUGUCAGUGAGCUUGUCUUUAGUGAGCUUGUGUGUGUGUCCCUGAACUUCUUUGUAGUGAGCCUUCUGUUUAUACAAGUGGGUGUCUGUAGUAAGCUUGUGUGUGAGUCAGAGAGUUUUGUCUGUCAGUAAGCCUAUUUGCGCAUGUCAGUGAGCUUGUGUGCUUACUGUACUAUAUAUAUAUAUAUAUAUAUAUAUAGAUAUAUAUAUAUAUAUAUAUAUAUGACUUGUGGGAAUGGCAUACGUUUUUUUUCCAGGGCUGCUUUGGAUUCCCAGGGAUUCCCAGUUUGGCUCUGCCAGCGAGUGCACUUUACCGCUAAAUAAUCUGUGUGAGCUGCCGCACACUUUAGCCCUGUUACACACGUCUGGGAGCUGCUGUUGACAGGUACUAGUAGUCUAGAGAUUGGGGUUUAUGCUCAGCUAUCUGUAUAAUACAGAUCUGUGUGUAUAAAAUAUCCCGGGAUAGUCAGUGCUUCCUGUAUAGUGCUGCUCUCUGUCUUGGGAUAUUAUACACAAACAGACCUAUAUUAUACAGAGAGCAGCACUAUACAGGGAGCACUGAGUGUCCCAAUUUAUUAUACACACAACCCUGUAUUAUACAGAGAGCACUGACUGUCCAGGGAUAUUAUACCCAGACAGUAAUUGAUGGCUGUGCUGCAAAAUGUCCUUGGAAUUUUUUUUUCAAAUGUUGGCAACUAUGGCACUGUAUCAAGGAUAAUGUGUUUGUUUUUUUAAUAAUCCCUGGUGGAAAAUAAUGAAUCCUCCACCAGGUAUUAUUAAAAAAACAAAACACAUUGUGUCAGGGGCGUGGCUUAACUUGCGACAGGGGCGGAGUCAAACUGCGAUGAGGGCGGGGUUAAAUGUGCCCCCCUACUUUUGUCACUGGCCCUCCAUGUGCCCCCCCAAAAAAUGAAUCCUAGAGACGCCACUGGUCCCAAUAGCUUGCAUUUAAAAAAAACUAAACUUUUUGGACUGUAAUAUAAUAGCAGUCAGUUUCCUUCACGCGUGUGCGUUUCAGGGCCUGCCAGGGCACAGUGUCACACCAGUGCAACUCAUAUCUGGUGUAACAGUAGUGUACAUUUAAAAAAAAAAAAAAAAUUUUGACUGUAAUAGAUUGAAUAGCAGUUAGUUGUCUGCCAGCGUGUGUGUCAGGCUCACAGCGUAUACUGUGCCCACUUGCACAGUGCCACCACUCAUAUCCGGUGUCACAAUAGCUUGCAUUUAACAAAAAAAAAACUUUUUGGACUGUAAUACAAUAGCAGUCAGUUUCCUUCACACGUGUGCGUUUCAGGGCCUGCCAGGGCACAGUGUCACACCAGUGCAACUCAUAUCUGGUGUAACUGUAGUGUAUAUUUAAAAAAAAAAUAAAAUUUUGACUGUAAUAGAUUGAAUAGCAGUUAGUUGUCUGCAAGCGUGUGUGUCAGGCCUACAGCGUCUACUCUGCCAACUUCUGCAACUGCACAGUGCCAGUCAUUUCUGCUGUCACAGUAGCUUGCAUGCAUAGUACCACUAAUCGAAAAAAAAAAUGACAGGCAGAGGCAGGNNNNNNNNNNNNNNNNNNNNNNNNNNNNNNNNNNNNNNNNNNNNNNNNNNNNNNNNNNNNNNNNNNNNNNNNNNNNNNNNNNNNNNNNNNNNNNNNNNNNCACCACUCAUAUCCGGUGGCACAUUAGAUUGCACGCGCAGUGCCCCAAAUUUGAAGUAGGAGGACCGACUAAGCAUCUUUUUCCAUCUCCCGGUUCCUAAAAAUCGAUGCCAUAUACACGUCUCCUGAUAGGGGACAGAACAGGGAUUAAACUGAUAGGAAUAGUACUACUUAACACACCUUAUAAUAACGCAGAGAGAGGCAAUGCAGAGAGAGGAGUCUGAAGAAGAGGAGUCAGAGGAGAAAGGUGGCUUUGAGGAGGUGGAAGACCAAACACAGCAGGCGUCCCAGAGGGCUUGUUGUCACCUUUUGGGGACCCUUGGUGUUGUACGUGGCUGGGUGGAGGAAGAGACCUUCAAUGACAUCAGUGAGGACAAGGAACGGGACAUGGCUAGCUUGGUAUCCAACCUUGUGCAAAUGGGGAGUUUGCGGUUGUGCAAAUGGACUGUUUGCGGUUGUUUGCGGUGCGUUAAACGGGGAGUUUGCUCUGUCACUGUGAAGCGGGCGUAACCCUUACACUACCUGAUCGAUACAACAUCAUACAGUAAGUCCCCCCCCUCAUUAUUUUUAUGGCCCCCACCCACCGCUCACAGGUGGGGGCGGGUGGGAGGACAGUAGGUCCCCCCCCCAUUGAGAUUUAUGGCCCCCACCCACUGAAUAUUCCCUUGUAUAACAAUGUUUGGCAUUUAGUGAAUAUUCCCUAUUCUGCUCUGUGUCAGUGUGUAUCAGGGAUCCUUAGGAUAGGUGUCAAUCCAUAUCUGCCAAGUGAACCUAUGUAGGGGGAACAGUCCCUAUUCUGCUCUGUGUCAGUGUGUAUCAGGAUCCUGAGGAUAGGUGUCAAUCCAUAUCUGCCAAGUGACCCUAUGUAGGGGGAACAUUCCCUAUUCUGCUCUGUGUCAGUGUGUAUCGGGGAUCCUGAGGAUAGGUGUCAAUCCAUACCUGCCAAGUGACCCUAUGUAGGGGAAUAGUCCCUAUUCUGCUCUGUGUCAGUGUGUAUCAGGAUCCUGAGGACAGGUGUCAAUCCAUAUCUGCCAAGUGACCCUAUGUAGGGGAACAGUCUCUAUUCUGCUUUGUGUGUCAGUGUGUAUCAUGGUCUCUGAGGACAGGUGGUGUCUCAUCCAUAUCUGCCAAGUGACCCUAUGUAGGAGAACAGCUCCUCCUGUGUCAGUGUGUAUCAUGGUCUCUUGAGGACAGGUGCUGCUCAAUCCAUACCUGCCAAGUGAACCUAUGUAGGGGAACAGUCCCUAUUCUACUCUGUAUCAGUGUGUAUCAGGGAUCUUUAGGACAGGUGUCAAUCCAUAUCUGCCAAGGACCCUAUGUAGGGGGAACAGUCUCUAUUCUGCUCUGUGUCAGUGUGUAUCAUGGUCUCUGAGGACAGGUGUCAAUCCAUAUCUGCCAAGUGACCCUAUGUAGGAGGAACAUUCUCUAUUCUGCUCUGUGUCAGUGUGUAUCAUGAUCUCUGAGGACAGGUGUCAAUCCAUAUCUGCCAAGUGACCGUAUGUAGGAGAACAGUCUCUAUUCUGCUCUGUGUCAGUGUGUAUCAUGGUCUCUGAGGACCGGUGUCAAUCCAUAUCUGCCAAGUGACCCAAUGUAGGAGGAACAAUAUCUAUUCUGCUCUGUGUCAGUGUGUAUCAGGGGCUCUGUGGACAGGUGUCAAUCCAUAUCUGACAAGUAACCCUAUGUCGGGGGAACAGUCUCUAUUCAGCUCUGUGUCAGUGUGUAUAAUGAUCUCUGAGGACAGGUGUCAAUCCAUAUCUGCCAAGUGACCCUAUGUAGGAGGAACAGUUCUAUUCUGCUCUGUGUCAGUGUGUAUGAUCUCUGAGGACAGGUGUCAAUCCAUAUCUGCCAAGUGACCCUAUGUAGGGAGAACAGUCUCUAUUCUGCUCUGUGUCAGUGUAUCAUGGUCUCUGAGACAGGUGUCAAUGCAUGACCUGCCAAGCACCCUAUGUAGGAGGAACAGUCUCCUAUUCUGCUCAGUCAGUGUGUAUCAGGGGCUCUGAGGACAGGUGUGUCAAUCCAUAUCUGCCAAGUGACCCUAUGUAGGAGGAACAGUUCUACUGCCUCUGUGUCAGUGUGUAUCAGGGGCUCUUAUGACAAAAAUAAUCCAUAUCUGCCAAGUGACCCUAUGUAGGGGAAACAGUCUCUAUUCUGCUCUGUGUCAGUGUGUAUCAUGAUCUCUGAGGACAGGUGUCAAUCCAUAUCUGCCAAGUGACCCUAUGUAGGGGAACAUUCCCUAUUCUGCUGUGUGUCAGUGUGUAUCAGGGAUCCUGAGGAUAGGUGUCAAUCCAUACCUGCCAAGUGACCCUAUGUAGGGGGAACAGUCCCUAUUCUGCUCUAUGUCAGUGUGUAUCAGGGAUCCUGAGGACAGGUGUCAAUCCAUAUCUGCCAAGUGACCCUAAGUAGGAGUAACAGUCUUUAUUCUGCUCUGUGUCAGUGUGUCUCUGAGGACAGGUGUCAAGCCAUAUCUGCCAAGUGACCCUAUGUAGGAGAACAGUCUCUAUUCUGCUCUGUGUCAGUGUGUAUCAUGAUCUCUGAGGACAGGUGUCAAUCCAUACCUGCCAAGUGACCCUAUGUAGGGGGAACAGUCCCUAUUCUGCUCUGUGUCAGUGUGUCUCUGAGGACAGGUGUCAAGCCAUAUCUGCCAAGUGACCCUAUGUAGGAGAACAGUCUCUAUUCUGCUCUGUGUCAGUGUGUAUCAUGAUCUCUGAGGACAGGUGUCAAUCCAUACCUGCCAAGUGACCCUAUGUAGGGGGAACAGUCCUUAUUCUGCUCUGUGUCAAUAUGUCAUAUGUCAGGUAUCAAUCCAUAUCCAUUGUGAUUUAGGAAUGUUAGGUGAUUUCUGCCCUUUAUGGAUUAAGACCAGACUCUGCAUCAACUGUGUAAUUUUCCAUGGGAGUUUUGCCAUGGAUCCCCCUCCGGCAUGCCACAGUCCAGGUGUUAGUCCCCUUGAAACAACUUUUCUAGUCCCUGUGUGUUUUAAAAUUCGCCUGCCCAUUGAAGUCUAUGGCGGUUCACGAACAUUUGCGGAAGUUCCCGUUCGCGAACCGAAAAUUUUGUGUUCGCGACAUCACUACUGACUAUGAGUAAUCAGAUAUGGACAGUGAUUCAUUCCAGAACUCACAGCGUGAAAUGUGAACUCCUAACCCCAGAUUUAUACAAAAGAACAAAGAAUAAAGGAUCAACCUACCAGUCCAGAUAAAUGAGACUGCUCAAGAUUGGAUAUGGAUUGUAAUUUAACUUUUUAGUGUUUAUGGAUCCAUGUAUAAUGUGGGCAGGCUAUGGUUAUUACUUAUUAAAACAAGUUGGCAUCUUUGAGCCAUAAUGAAGGUGUAUGAAAUCUAUUGUGUGGUACCACUUUUGGAGAUAAAUCUUGCCAAUUAUAAUACAGCUAUUUGUAUGACAUUAGUAGUGUAUUUCUGAAAUGUUGUAGUAUAUAGGGCUGUCACUAUGGCAAGUGGGUGAGUAAGACGUAUAUCACUCAUCCACCCAGAUUGAUAAUGCGGAAUGGGUGUUUUUUUUACAAACAUUAGGAUGUACAUGACACAGUGAAUCUUGAUGGUUGGAAUAGUUUAUCCAGUGCAAUAAUAUGACAGUAAGACUCAUUGCAUUUUCACUAUUUUUGGAUACUAUCAAGGAGACCGGAUAUUUAACUGUCCACCCAUUACUCUCCUACUUGUCUCCAUCAUUAGGAGGGAGGAACGGGGCCACAUCUAUCCUUAUUUGGAAGGAGUGGCCAAUGGUCAUUCGGUAUACCCCCUUUUGCACCGGAGUUUGCUGAAUUGGACGGAAAGCUUAACCGUGGAGUCCCUGCCCGACUAUACACACAGGCAGACAUCAUUGGAUUUCGAUUGGCGAUAAGAUCACGCCUAUCUUUAAAUGGGGGGGGACACUGAAUCAAUUCGAGAGGAGGCACCCUUCAUUAGGACACAUAUAUAAAAGUGGUUGGUCAACCUCAGUUACUGUUUAGCGCCAGACAAAGGCACUUCUUAGCACCGAAAUGUGUGUCAGGCGCUUCUCUUAUUUUUCUUUUUGUUUUGGCAUUUUCCAACACAGUAAGACAACACAGUAAAUAUUUAUUAAAUAUUUUUUGUUUUCUUUCUUAGGCUGAUAUACUUAUGUAGUGACCUUUUUGUUCCCUUUGAUUAAGUAUAUCUUCCAGAGGUUAGUUUUGCUGGACUACCCAGGUAUAUUGUUCACAGGGUAUUUGAUUUAUAGAUUAUUGUGUCCCUGGAAAUGCCACUAUAACGCUCCUGUUAUGUAGAUGCAAUUUAAUUUUGAGUCCCAAAUUGUUGUUCUUUCCUUUUUUCUCCUUCAACUGUGUAUUAAAGGACCACUAUAGUGCCAGAAAAACAUACUCGUUUUCCUGGCACUAUAGUGCCCUGAGGGUGCCCCCACUCUCAGGGACCCCCUCCCGCCUGGCUCUGGAAAAGGGAAAGGGGUUUAAACUUACCUUUUUCCAGCGCUGGGCGGGGAGCUCUCCUCCUCCGGGGCUGAAUGCGCACGCGCGGCAAGAGCUGCGCGCGCAUUCAGCCGGUCACAUAGGAAAGCAUUCAUAAUGCUUUCCUAUGGACGCUGGCGUGCUUUCACUGUGAAAAAUCACAGUGAGAAGCACGCAAGCGCCUCUAGCGGCUGUCAAUGAGACAGCCGCUAGAGGAAAUAGGGGAAGACUUAACCCAUUCAUAAACAUAGCAGUUUCUCUGAAACUGCUAUGUUUAUUAAAAAAUGGGUUAACCCUAGCUGGACCUGGCACCCAGACCACUUCAUUAAGCUGAAGUGGUCUGGGUGCGUAGAGUGGUCCUUUAAGUAGAUAAAGAUGUUCAGACUUUAAGACGCCAUCUUGACCUAAGUCAGGAAGAUUUCCAUGAUGUAUAUUUUUGCCAAGUUAAGGGAGGUCCUAAAAUGAAUAAAGUAAAAGAAGUGUUACUUUUUCAUAAAUUAACUACGGUAAGCCUAAAAUUAAGACACCUAAGGUAUAAAUAGACAGACAGAGGAGUGACUUGGAGACAGACGUUGCUCCAUCUUAAAAUGACAGAGAGGCUGACAUGAUGACAUGUUCAGGAGGGUAUGUUAAUCUACUAAUGAUAUUUGCAAGCAUUUAGAUUAAUCUUAUAAACUCUGCUAUAAAUUAUUGUAAUGGAUUUUAUAUGUCUAUAUUUAUAUUUUUAUAUAAUAAAUAUCAAAAAAGACAAAACUUUAUUGCUUCCAAGACAAUCCUUAUUUUAUAUUGUAUUCUCAAUUAUUUAUAUAUGUUAAAUAGAGAAUCUCUUACUAUGUCAAAUUAUGGCGAAGAUAUCUGUAUGGUUAGCCCUGCUAAGUUCUAGGAUUUAAGAUGUUAUAGUGGUAAAUAAGGGAACGAGCCACGGUUACAAUCUGAAAAUACAUUUGUUGUGUUCUGCGCAAAGAGGCUAUUUCUUUUGUAUCGUGAGUAUACUUACAUCUUCCAUUCAGGCAAUUUUCCUGGGCCCACUGGAACUUUUUGAAAGUUCCAUACCACAGAUCAGAUGGUCCCACUGACUUACAAAGUGAAAGAAGAAGUACAUUGAUGGUUGAUUCACAUUUUCCUGGAAUGGCAGAGGCAUUUUGGUUCAACUCCAGGUUUUAUCAAACCCAAAGUCAGCCUGUGGGGUUGUAGUGUUUCCUACUUUGACAGCUCUGACCAAGGUCAGAAUCAAAAUCUUCACUAUACAUUAGUUGCCUAGAAUUGAUGCGGGAUUUUUCCUGAUUUACAGUUUAUCAUGUAACAAAGAAAAUUGUUGCAUUCUUCUUUGUAUGGACACUGUGUGUCGGUGGUGCAAUGUAUCAACCACCUUGCAGAGUCUUGACUCGGGUGUUAUCAGAAAUUACAAAAGACAUCUUCUAAUUUUAUUUCUAAUCACAGCAUUUCACUCAGGUCGGGAAUAUCUGCCUGGUACAUCAAAUCUGUUGGCAGGUUCUCCAGGCAUUAGAGGGCCAUUAGGGAUUGGAUGCUGGAUAGAUCAGUUUAGCUGGUGCAGACACUUCAAGUGCCCUUUUUCGAUGGUCCUCUUUGCUUCCUAGAACAAUUGCCAAUUACCUCAGUUUUACAGUUGGCUUCCAGACCAGGACUGCACCUCAGUGUACGCCUUCCUCCAUAAGGCUUGCACCUUCCCAUUUGCUAUGAUUGCAAAUGUACCUUAUUAAGUCAAUCCCAGAGUGUUUCCCUGGUUCUAAUUGCUCCUUUUUGGCAGAGCCAAGCUUGGUUGCCAAACCUCUUGGAAAUGUUAUUCAGGGAUCCUCUGUGGAUUCCACCCUUCCAUCUACAUCUCACAGCUCCAUGGGGGUACUCACAUCCUUGCAUCCUUCAGGAGUGUCUUCAGCUGUUGGCUUGGACACUUUCAGUGGUUCCUAAGAUAUUGAAGACUUUUCUCAGAUGUCUAAGAAUUUAUUUUGGGACUCCUAAGCCUUGGGUACCAAAACAAUGUUACCUGGACUACCCGGAGUCACAGGUGUUUGGAAUGGAGUAUUGAUCUCUUUACAGCUUCUCUAUAUUCCAUAUAAAAUGUCUCUCAUACCUUUUUCUGACUGUUGUUUAUUAGACUGCAGAAUGUAUAACUCAACAUGAACUUCGUGCUCUCGCGAGCUCUGAAAAUGUCAAAAUGUAUAUGAAAGGCGAAUUAAUUUCCUUCUGUUAAAGGUCGCAUGGGAUAUAUAUGUGGUAUAGACAGAUUGAACCCUUUAAAUGACAAUACAAAUACCAACAUUUAUUCAAGUGAAUGCAGAAAUACUUAAAAAAUGCAAACUAAUGAAGAAAUUGUGCUCUUGAAGAAAGCCAGGAACAUUUUCAGUGUUCCUGGGACAGUGGGACUUUUAUCAAAUUUCUCCCAAAUAAGGCUUGAAACUUGGAAAUCUGGCCCUACACGCCAAUACACAAUGAAUCCGAGUGUUAUAGGCAGCAUAAUAUAAUGCAGAGGGACUGAAAGGGUUAUAUGUAAUAUACUGGCAGAUAUCCAGUUUGUAAAUAUUCCAUCAUGAUUAUAUUUUCCAGUUUGAUGACUUACGAGUGCAAAGCAACUCUUAUGAAGGUUCAUAUUUACAUCCAUCAACCGACUUAGCGGAGGCAUAAUGUCUAACGCAAUAAAUUGAUUUUGACACACAAAUGGAUAAACUCUGGUUCUGUGUCGCUGAUAAAAUAGAAGCAAACCACAAUGAUUGACUUUAUGAUAAUCCUCUGUUUUCUCCACGUGUGCAGAAAAUUAUCCAUCAAUUAUGUUUACUUUUAAAGAGCCACUUACAUCUAAAGCCUCAUAUUUAUUUGUGAGUUCUGCAAAGCAAUUUUACAUUGCUGUUGAACAUUAGGCGUUUUACCUGAUAAUCCCACAUUUGUUAAGAAGCUAUGGUCAAUAGUUAUCAUGCAACCGCAAUUGUUCCAUUUAUGUGUAUGCCCAUUUCUCAGAGAGAUUCUUCUAGACCCAGAGCUUUUUCUAGAUACACACUGCAAAAUGCAGUUAUAUAUAUAUAUAUAUAUAUAUAUAUAUAUAUUUUAAUUUAAUUUGUUAUAGCUUUUUCUAGAUACACACUGCAAAAUGCAGUUAUAUAUAUAUAUAUAUAUAUAUUUUUUAAUUUAAUUUGUUAUUUCUUUUCGUAUUUGUUUUUCCACUUUUCCUUUCCUAGACUGCUUCACUGUAGGUCUGUAAAGUAACAUAUCCAGUCACAGACCUUGCCAGGUUUUGGAUUGGGUUGGGACCACUGGCGUACAUACCACGGUCGCAGGGGUCGCAGCUGUGACUGGGCCCCUCACUCCAGGGUGCUCGGUCGCAGCCUCGACCCCUGCUACCAUGGGCCGCCUGUAUACCUUAUGGGCCGGUGUACAGGUCUGGCAGGAAGGGAGUGCUGCACUGUGCUGCUCCCCUCCUGCCUGUGUGUAUCGUGACUGAGCGGUCUGACAGGAAAUGCUCACUGUUUCAAAUUCACUUUGAAUUCACAUUAAAUUUCUGGCAAGUCUCACUUUAGUAAAUAACCCUGUUUUGGAUCUCUGAUGAAAGUGUGAGAUAGUUUAUUGAUCAUCAAUAUAGGCAUAUUUCACUACCCUCUUAUCUUUUCACUGUUAACUGCCUCUGUGAGACUACCAUAUAGACCAGGGGUAGUCAACCUUUUAAUACCUACUGCUAACUUUUGUAUCUUUGUUAAUGGUAAGAUUUCUUUACCGCCCACCAGUGCCGCAGUAACUAAUUAUAUAGCGCAAGUGCAAUUUUUUGUUUCUUUUAGAAAGGAGCGGUUUUUGGUUUUUUUAAAUAUGUACUUAAAUAUAUCUAUUGUUUUCCUUUUUUUCUAUUUUCUAUUCUACUUUUUUCUAUGUGUGGCUGUGAGGUGCUUUGUAUGUGUGUGUGUGUGUGUAGGGUAUUGUGUGUUUGUGUGUGAGAGAGGUGCAGUGUGUGUGUGAUGGGGCAGUGCGUGAGGUGCUUUGUGAGUGUGUAUAGGGUAUUGUGUGUUUGUGUGUGAGAGAGGUGCAGUGUGUGUGAUGGGGCAGUGUGUGAAGGGUGCAGUGUUUGUGAAGGGUGCUGUUUGUGUGAGUGGUGCUGUAUGUGUGUGAGAGAGAGAGAGAGAGAGAGAGAGAGAGGUGCAGUGUGUGUGAAUGGUGCAGUGUGUAUAAAUGGUGCUGUGUGUGUGAGGGGCCCAGUGUGUGUGAGGGUUGCUUUGUGUGUGUGGGGUGCUGUGUGUGUGUGAGGGUGGCAGUGUGUAUGCGAGGGGGCAGUGUGUAUAUGUGAGAUAGGCUAGAAAGGUAUACGUAGUGUGCAUGGGAUAAAUAGAGAAGGGAGGGGAGUAAAGUGGGAGCAAUGAAGAUGGUGUCACCAGGGACAGGUGAGCAGAAGGCUAGGGAUAUUUUAGUAAUGAGAAAAGUUAAGAAAGGUAAAACAUUAUUAAGGGAAAAUGUGUUUUGUUAUAUUGAUAUGAAGAUUAUACAUAUAUACACACAUAUAUAAUCAUAGACAUAUAUAUAUAUAUACAUACAUAUACCUAUGAGUGUUUAAACUGUUAUGGGCAAAUGCAAAUAAUACAAGUUUUAGAAUGAAAUGUUGUAUUUCUUAAACUGUGUACUUUGUCUUUAAGAGAUAUUGCAAACUGACAAGGUGUUAGAAAUGGAAUAUAUUGUUUUUCAUAACUGUUUCUUUAAGCAAUAACCUCAGUGCAUAAUAUGUUUGCGCCAUUUUGUCCCAGACGAAUUACAAUAACAAUAAUGCAUAAACAAGCUUCAAGGCUAUACUUCGACUCUUGCAGUACACAAUAUACUGUGGUAACCCCAAGUUAAUGGAACUUCCACAAAUCCGGGAAUCUCCCACGACUGUACACUUACGACUUAGUAUAAACAACAGAUAACCUAUUCAGACUUUAAGAUGCCAUCUUGAACUAAGUCAGGAAAAUCUCCAUGACGUAUACACCCUUUAGUUAUGGCCUUGUAUGUUUGCCAAGUUAAGGGAGGUCCUAAAUUGAAUAAAGUAAAAGAAGUGUUACUUUUUCAUAUUUGAACUACGGUAACCUAAAAUGGAGACAGAGGUAUAAAUAGGUGUACUUUUAAAUGUUAAGAUACAGAGGAGAGACUUGGAGACAGACGCUGCUCCAUUUUAAAAUGACAGAGAGGCUGACAUGAUGACAUGUUCAGAAGGGUAUGUUAACCUAUUAAUGAUAUUUGCAAGCAUGUAAUUUAAUCUUAUAAACUUUGCUCUAAUGGAUUUUAUAUUUUUAUAUAAUAAAUAUCCAAAAGACAAAACGAUUGCUUCCAAGACAAUCCUUAUUUUAUAUUGUAUUCUCAAUUAUUUAUAUAUGUUAAAUAGAGGAUCUCUUACUAACUAUAUAAAAUUAUGGCUAAGAUAUCUGUAUGGUUAGCCCUGCUAAGUUCUAUGCUUUAAGACAUUAUAGUGGUAAAUAAGGGAACCACCCACGGUUACAAAACCAUGAUUAAAGCAUGCAGUUUGUUAACAGAGGGAUUUCAGCUGAGGAGAGGUUUAGGGACUUGAUUGGUGUGUUUUGAAAACCAGCUGAUCGGCACUAUCUAUAAGUAUGGUGGGGUGGUGUGGUGUGGGGAAGGCAGGGCAGGGCACGGCAGAGGAGGAGAGGGGAGGGGAGGGUGGACAGCCUUCCAAACAUGAUACCUCUGUUCAGGGGCGUAAAAUGUUAAGGGUUUUCUCUCUUCUUUUUUUUUACAAUUUGUGAACUUUGCAAAACCGCUGUCAGCCCCUCCUACAAAACCCUUGUCCCGCUCCGCCCCUCCUACAAAACAUCUGUCCUGCCCCUUCUACAAAUCCUGUACUGCCCCGUCUACAAAACCCCCGCAACCCCCUUCCACAAAUCCCCUGCUUAUCCCCCCUUAUAAAGACUCCUGUCCCAAUACAAAGCCCCCGCCCCCUUCUACAAAAUCCCUGCAGCCCCACACACACAUUUACAGGCAGACAGUCACACACUCAGUUACAGACAGACAGUCACACACAGUCACAGGUAGACAGUCACACAUACUACACAUACACAUUUCCUCCGUGCGGCCAGUUUAUCAGCUGUUUGCUUGUGUGAGCUGUACUGGCCGCACGGCACCCUAACUACCAUGGGACACUGUGCGGCCAGCUCACACAGCCCCCUCCAGCCAGGCCGGGUGCAAGGAUUUUUGCCGCCUUUAGGUAAAAGUAAAGUUUGUCGCCCCAUGUGACAUCACAAUGCCCCCACCCGUAUGAUUUGCCAUGUUAACUAACGCCAGUGCUGCAGUGCCGCCUUGUUUACAUUAAAAGGCCUGCAGGGACAGGCUAUAGACACCAGAACCACUACAUUAAGCUGAAGUGGUUCUGGGGACUAUAGUGUUUCUUUAAUGUGAGGUAAAUUAGAGCUUAGUGCCACGAAUAAUAUACUAUAUUGCCUACUUACAACUAGAUGAGGAAGAUGAUGGGCUCUAGCUGCAGUCUGGCUCCACUGGUCUGGUGCAGAACAGGCUCUCUGGAGGCGGUUUGUAACUGUGGUCACAAAAAUCAAUGUUCUGGGAGAACGGGAAGCAGCUCCAUUUUUUGGGGGUCCUUUACACAGCUCAAGGUCUGGGUCCCAGGGUCCACCUUCAUGUUCCACCAAUGAGUUUGUUCACAGGGGGUGGAGUGUGUAGGGGAUGUCCUGAUAUGUGUGUAAGGAAUGCAUUGUGUGAAAUUGUGUUUGUAUGUGUAAGGACUGCAAGGUGUGUUUCUGUGUAUGUAUGGGAUGCAUUGAAUGUGUGUAAGGGGUGCAUUGAGUGUGUGUAAUGAAUGCAUUGAGUGUUUCUGUGUGUGUAAGGGAUGCAUUGUGUGUAACGGUUGCAUUGCUUGUGUAUGUGUGUCUGUGUGUGUAAUGCAUUGUGUGUUUUUCUGUGUGCAAGGGGUGCAUUGUGUGUAUUUGAUGAAUGUCAAUCUCUCCUCCUCCCAAUUUCUCUUUCUCCCCCCCUCCUAAUUUCUCUCCCCCCUCCGAAUUUCUCUAUCUCCCCUCCUAAUUUCUCUCCCCCCUCCUAAUUUCUCUUUCUCCCCCCCUCCUAAUUUCUCUUUCUCCCCCCUCCUAAUUUCUCUUUCUCCCCCCCAUCUAAUUUCUCUUUCUCACCCCCAUCUAAUUUCUCUUUCUCACCCCCCCAUCUAAUUUCUCUUUCUCACCCCCCCAUCUAAUUUCUCUUUCUCACCCCCCCNNNNNNNNNNNNNNNNNNNNNNNNNNNNNNNNNNNNNNNNNNNNNNNNNNNNNNNNNNNNNNNNNNNNNNNNNNNNNNNNNNNNNNNNNNNNNNNNNNNNCCUCCUGUCAGCCCCUCUCCUCAGGCUGAGCCCGGGCGGUGCGGUCCGCCCUCAUGGGGGGGGGCGGGGGCUGGCCAUGGAACCCCCCACCCGGCUGGCACCCGGGGCGGACCGCCUCCUCCGCCCCCCCCUUAGUACGCCACUGCACUGGCUCCCUAUAAAGGCUUGUGUGCUGUUAUGGUAGCACCACCCUCCUACUUCGGCUUGAAGAAUUUCUCGGGAACAUGAAAAAAAGAGAAGAAAGCAAACCAAUGUGUAGACUUAUGGUGAUAAAUGACACAGAUAUGUGUUCAAUAAAUGGGGUGCUCACCUGGUCCUGAGCCUACGAAUCCCGGCUCUAGGUAUGUGGAUUUUGUGCCAAUUUGAAUGGGGAUGGCACUACCCCUGUGAGGAUUCCUUGGAGGCUCCAAAAAGAACUUGGAUGAGGUAUUGGAUGUAAAUGGUGAGUUUAUUAGUUUAAAAUAAUCAUAAAAACAAAGAUGAUAAAAGUCCUCAAAUAAAAGUCCUUUAAAAAUGGCCAAUACGCGUUUCACUCUCAAAUAGAGCUUCUUCAGUCAGCUGACUGAAGAAGCUCUUUUUGAGAGUGAAACGCGUAUUGGCCAUUUUUCAGCUGACUGAAGAAGCUCUAUUUGAGAGUGAAACGCGUAUUGGCCAUUUUUAAAGGACUUUUAUUUGAGGACUUUUAUCAUCUUUGUUUUUAUGUUUAUUUUAAACUAAUAAAUUCACCAUUUUCAUUCAAUACCUCAUCCAAGUUCUUUUUGGAGCCUCCAAGGAAUCCUCACAGGGGUAGUGCCAUACCCAUUCAAACUGGCACAAAAUCCACAUACCUAGAGUGGUGCUACCAUAACAGCACACAAGCCUUUAUACGGAGCCAGUGUUUUCUAUAUACAGGCUCCUUGAAAUGUGAGUGUAAUAUUUAACACGAUAUUAUUAUAAUCACUGUGAAGCCAUUUUUUAGUACCGUCUACACUAUAUUGUAUUUUCUGUAUUUUAUUUUGACAUGUACCCCAUAUUUUACCAUUGAAUGAGACUACGUUUUGGUAAGAUUUAUCUGUGUUUGAGCGCUCCACUUAUAGGUGUAGGUCCUUGUCACUUACACCGCACCAAUAUCUACUAAAUUUAUUCAGUGGAAUAGAGAAUAUUUCCACACUAGUGUAUUGAGCUGCCUGUAAAUCACUUUUUGACUCUUUUGAGCACUUUUGUUAUACACACUCCUCUGUAAAAAGAAACAACCUUUAAUUGGUAUUUAUAGUGUCCCUUUAAUUUACAAGUAGUCACACACAAUGAAUGGAGCUGCUCAAUAAGCUGAUUACAGCAAUACUGGGGCUAUUAUCAGUGUACAGUACACACAGUUAAAUGCUGGCAUACUGUCCACAGCUCAACCAUUCCUCCAGAGCGGAGAGUUAGCUCAGUCCAAGUUGUAUAUGUGGAAUGCAUAACCAGGACAAUAUUAAAAAUGGGAUAUGAGAAUUCUGUGCUCUUGUGUGACUGCUCUGAGUUAGUAUAAAGUACUCUCUACACCAUUUACCUUACAAAACUGCAAAGCUGUUGCAAUAUUGAAACUCAUAUAAAUACAUGUACAAUAUAAUUCGACAAUCUCAUGCAAUACAUCUGGAUGAAAUAUGUACUAGGGACUCGGAAUGUUACAAGGUUAUAGUUGUUUUUUUACACAAGUGUAUACCACAUGAACACAUACUGACAGAUGUUCACUUCUUGGCAGCAUGACAACUGUGCUGUGUUACUGUUACUGGGCAGAGUGCUGUCUCCUUUAAAAGGUAUGUAUGCAUUAUUUUUUUAAAGUUAAUUAAUGACCUUGCAAAGACCAUUGGAAUCCACUUCUCAUUGUUUGUAGAUUACACAAGUUUUGAAUGGUAACAUCACAUCAGGGGAUCACUGCUAAGGGCUAUGAGUAAAAUGGCAAACUAAGUAGGUAAAGGACAGUUUAGAUCUGACACAGAUAAAUGCAAGGCUAUGUGCUUAAAGAACAAAAAGAAACAUUUCAAGUUAUACAAUAAAUAUGAUAAACAGCUCAGACUAAAGAAGCAUUUAAAGCCACAAUGUGUAAAUAAAACCGUCUAAACAUGUCUUUUUAUAAAUGAUGAUGGCUGAUUAAAUAAAAAGAUAUGAUUAUGAAUAAAAACGGAAACAAAAAUGGUUAUGAUACACUUACUCUCGCAGAUUGCUUAUCCUUAAAGCAGCUUUUGUCCACUUACAGAGGGCAGGUGGCGGAGGUUAACUCCGCGCUCACUGUAAUACGUUGCUGAGACAGACAGCACCACUACUGCCUGUCUGAACUCAGACAAUAAGGAGAUGCCACAUUAAGGGGAGGAGAUGGUGGAACUGCAGCAACUACUAUCAAAAAAAUAUGUAAAAACAAAAAACAACAAAGGGGAGCCUGCAACCCUCUCCUAACUGCUGCCCUGGUCUGAAAAAUCCUCCAACUUCAAGUUAUAGUGACAGUUUAAAUAAAUAGAAAAAUCUGUGGCACUUUCCCUUUAAGAAUAGAAGGUUAUACCUUUGAAUUAUUAUUAACAAAACCUGUGCUGCUAUCCUCUAAUUCUCCCCUAUAUGUAAGAAUCAAUUGUCCAAUGUAUUAAACCAAUGAGUUAGCACACACAAUUUGGGAAAAUUUAAAUUGACAGAAUUUAUUUGGAAUAAUAUGUUCUCUGCAAUUUAGAUUCUAUUGAAUAAUCAUGUUAGAGCAGCGUGCCGUGGCGCCCUGGGUGCUGCGACAGUCGCAUUGGGGUGCUGCAAGAUAUUUUCCUGGUGCUAUAAUCAUAGCACCGGGAACUGUGCUCUCCCCUGCCGGCUCUGCAGGACUGGAAGGGAGAUCAGAGAUCUCCCUCUCCGUCCCCUGCACUUUGCUGACAGCUGGCAGAAGAGGGAGGGAGAGAGGACCCAGGGGAGCUCUAACCUGAAGCUUUGCCGGAUUCUCCUCUCGCGAGCUCGGAGCAUUGCCGCAGUUACCAUGGCAAUGCUUUGAAUCUUGCAAGAGUGAACUCUAGCAGCUCUUGAGGCUGCUAGAGUUUGUUCUCACCACUGGAACCACUAGGGCUUCCCCCACAGGUCACCAGGGAUUAGAGGAAAUGUCCCCCCUUCCAAGCAAAGGUACGCAGGGAGGGGGAUAUCAUUUUUAUUUUUAAUUUAAAAAAAAUAAAGUAUAUAUUUAUAAUUUGCCCUCCUACCCCCACAGACCCCACACCACACAAUAGCUCCCCCACACACACACACUGCCCCCAUAAACACACACUGCCCCCCCCCCACACACACACUAUCCUCAUACACACACACUACUCCCAUACACUCAAUUACCCCAUACACACAAUUACCCCCAUACACACACACUAUCCCCCAUACAUGCACACCAUCACCCAUAAACACAAUUACCCCCAUACACACACACUGCCCCCAUACACACACACUAUCCCCCACACACUCACACUACCCACCCAUACACACAAUUACCCCCAUACACACAAUUACCCCAAUACACACACUGCCACGCUAUACAGACAAACUAUCCCCAUACACACACUACCCCCCAUACACACAAUUACCCCCAUACACAUACACUGCCACCCAUACACACACACUGUCCCCCAUACAUGCACACUAUCCCCCAUACACACAACUACCCCAUACACAAUUACCUCCCCCAUACAUGCACACUAUCCCCCAUACACACAACUACCCCAUACACAAUUACCCCCCAUACACACACUACCCCCAUACACACACACUGCCCCCCUAUCCGACUGCAGCAUGGUAACGUUGUCAGACAGUGUAUAUAUGUUCAACAAAGGCUUGGAUAAAUUUUCAGCAAAGCAGGAUAUACAGGCUUUAGCGAAUUAAUCUAACAUACAGAGAAUGUUUAUUGAUCAAAGAUGAAUGAUUGUUCCUGUGAAGAAAACAAAAGGGCAAAGCAUUUUGCCAUCUUACAUAUUAAUUGCAACUGUUGGGAAUAAUACACUUUGCCUAUACUGAUGACUGGAUGUUCAGUCUGUCUGAAAUUGGCUAACUUGGAGCAUGUCAGCUAUUUGCAAUAAUAUACUUUAUCUAUAUCCAAUGCUUAGUGAAUAUACCCCUAGACAAGUGUUGUAGAACAUCGUGUAACAAGUAUCAGGUGUUAUAUCCUGUAUGUUUCUGCUGCUGUCCUUAUUUCCUGUGUUUCUCCCUUUGAUCAUAACUGCAUAGUAAUGUGUAAUUUAGAACUGAGUAGUAAAUAUCUUUAAUUCGUAGUGCGCAUGCAUGUUAAUUUAAAGUGCAUAGUUAUAGUGAAACUUUGCUUUGUGCAAGGCCUAAACAUGAAGAUGCACCUGCAAGCUUGUUAUAGGUUAAGAUAAGAUAGAUGAUUUUGUUAGGAUUGGAUAAUGCUUGUAGGACCACCCCUGUUUCCUCUUGAACAUAAACUGUUACACAGCUCAUUAAAGGCUAAAAAAUCACUUUGAACCUUGCAUUGUCUUGUAUCGUUCAUUGGGAGCUCCUCGCCAGCUGGUUUGGGGACAAGGAGAAAUACAGAGAGUUGCAAAUUGAUACAAAAGACCAUGGCAAGGGGAAAUGCCUGACAAAGAAAAUUCCUAUCAGCAACAUAGACAGUUUUGUUUAAUUUUAAGAUUUCUGUCUUUUAAUGCUUGUGUUUUUUCAUACCGUAUAAAGAGUGUACUGGAACUAAUUAAAUGGCCUAAAUAAAAAAAUUAGAAAUGCUAUUUAGUAGAUAUACCCACUUUAUAAUGUGUUUUUUCAGUGGGGGGAUAUCUAUAAACAGGUGAUAUACCGAUAAAUAGCAAAACCUGCAGUUCUCUUGUCUGCAGCCUUUGCAAGCCAUCCUCUUCUAACCCCGCCCAGACUUUCUGUGGCUGUCCAAUCACAGACUUCCCAGUGCAGAUCAAUGAGAAUUUUUCGCAAGGAAGGUUCUCUGGAUAUUUGCUGCCUCUUGAGUUUAGCUUCACAGGGUUAACAUGGGAAGUAACAGGACCUGUUUUCUGACAUCGGUGAGGGUGUUACAAGUUCAAUUUAUAAAAGUGUAAAUUUCUACUGAAAUCUACACUUUAUGUAAAAUAAAAAAAAAUAAAAAAACACACAUCACAAGUAAAUCACUUUAGCAAGCUAAAGAACUUUAGGUGUUUGGAGUGUCCCUUUAAGGUAAGGGUAGCCAAUAAAUAUAUUUCAUUUCUUCCUUCAUCUUUCCUAUCCCCUUUCUCCAAUUUUAGGAUGCCUCAAAAUAUUCGGCAACAGUGCUUUAGCAUUCUAAAAUUAUUGUUAGCAGUCUUCAAUCAAAUACUGAGCAAACCCUAAUUAGGUUAUACUUACUGUCUGUAAAAGCAAACAUUUUGUGAAUGUUGCAAGGACAAUAAUUUAUUGAAGUCUAUUUCCAGCAAUUUUAGCCCAGUGCUGGGUGUGCUCAGGCAAACCCUAUUACACCUGGAACACUCUUAGGGGAGAUCCUGCUGCUGCAUGACCAGUCCAAAAGAUCUCCCUGACUGGCUCUUCGUUCCCUCAUUGCUUCAUUGGAGCUUGUGGUCUGCACCUUGGGCAGGUGCAGGCCAGUGUGUGUCAUUGUUCGCUUCAUUCUCUCUGGGACUUCUGCAAGAAAUCCUUAAUAUCAUAGAAUCCAGAGCAGAGAUUCUUAACGUUAAUUUGAACAUCUAACUAUACUUCAGUGAGACACGGUAAGUUGAUUACACAGAGACAAUAAAAAUAUUAUAAAAUUUCAUUUUUUGUAAAAAUGGCUCAUGGGGCUCGGUCAGGUGGCGUACAUUAGCUUACAAGUACAACUCAAACGGUAUACAAACAAAAUAACAAAUUAAAAAAGCAAUAGUACUUAACUUGUAAAGAUGCGUAACAGCCUCCCUAGGUCGCUACCCAAACAAGCGUACAUUAGGUAUCCACUCUGACCCUUUUUUUGUCUUUUUUUCCCAAAAGAUGCAACCUGCAAGUGAUUAAUAUUUAAUCUAAUAUAAACUUAAAUAAUUUAUUACAUUUAACCUUUUUUUUAAAUGAUUUCCUACGGUGUCUAAAAAAAAUUUUUUUGAACUUCCAAAUGUACUAGUCCCUCUAAAACUGAUGGAAUUGUGCAAAAUCUCUGGCAUCGCAGUGUAGCCCCGGGCAUAUUUACAUAAGCAGACAGGGCAGCUUUAGUAAUAUAAAUAUAAAGAGGAAGCAAAACACUAAUUUAAAAGGAACGCCAAGUAUACCAAACUUUCCACACUGUCGCUCACGAAGCAUGCUGCUCUUUGGUGUAGCGUACAGUAAUCCACUACAACCAGACAUGGUGGGAUACCAAUCGAUAAAUCAUGCAGACUGUGAAUUAUGUACAGUCCACAGAAAUACAAGUCUGUGGGAUCUCUUGUGUAGGUUAUGGUGCACAGAGGUUCACUAUCAUUGUUUCCAUGGACAUAGUGUCUUGUAAAUGCAAUAAUUUACAAUGAUCACUGCAGCUGUAGGCUGACCCCCUGACUUGCAGACAUCAAGGUCGCAAGCAUAUGGUUUCCCUUUCCACCCAAGAACUUGUCCAGCACACAUUAUACAAAUUAGACGUGUGCAAUUCGUUUCGUUCCGAAUACAAAUUCGGACGAAUUUCAGAAAUUCGGACAUUUAGAUGCUUCCGAAUGUCCGAAGUGCCGAAUUUCCGAAGUGCCAAACUUCGGAAUGCCGAACUGAACCGAAAUGAUGAAGUUCAGAAUUUUGGAAUGCCGAACCGAACCAAACCGAAUUGCCAAAGUGCCGAAUUUCUGAAGUGCUGAAUUUCCAAAGUUCCAAAGUGCUUUGGAUUUCUGAAAAAUGGCAAAACAGAGGAGGGUUGAGGUUAGGGGUUGUGUUAGUGGUUGGGGUAGGGUUAGGGGUUGGGGUAGGGUUAGUGGUUGGAGUAGGGUUAGGGGUAGAGUUGGGGUAGAGUAACCCUACCCCUAACCCUACCCUACCCCUCACCCUAUGCUAACCCUAACCUUACCCCUAAUCUUACCAUAACCCUACCACUAGCGCUACCCUAACCCUGCUCCUAACGCAACCCUACUCCUAACCCUACCAUAAACCCUACCCCUAACCCUACCCUACCCCUCACCCUAUGCUAACCCUAACCUUACCCCUAAUCUUACGAUAACCCUACCACUAGCCCUACCCUAACCCUGCUCCUAACGCAACCCUACUCCUAACCCUACCAUAACCCUACCCCUAACCCUACCACUAGCCCUACCCUAACCCUACUCCUAACCCUACCUAACCCUACCUCUAACCCUAACCUUACCCCUAACCCUACCAUAACUCUACCAUAACCCUACCUCUAACCCUACUCUUACCCUUAACCCUACUCUAACCCUAAUCCUACCCCUAACUUAAGCCUAACCCUACCCUACACUUACCUCAUGUCCCGAAGUGCCGAAGUUCUGAAGUUCCCAAAGUUCCGAAUUUCGGAAUGCCAAACCGAACUGAAGUGCCGAAGUCCCGAAGUUCCGAAGUCCUGAAUUUCGGAAUGCCAAACCGAAUAUUUUUCCCAUGCACAUCCCUAAUACAAAUUCCCAUCUCCGCUGACAGGCUCCAUUAUGGAUAUCUGUGAAUUAGUAAAAUGCGCAAAAGCCUUUAUAGCUCCAUUGGAUGAAUGGAGCUUUCGGUAAGCUGAUGGCAAGGUAGUUGCAAUGAACUUUUGCAGUGUUUUAUGUAGUGUAUUGGAUGAAUGGAACUGUUGCUUAGAGAUGAACAUAUUUAUACUGGGAUGGAGUUUACAAUGUGUAUGUUCAAACAAUGGCAGAGCUAGUAUCUUUUUAUUUUUAAGUUUUUAAAAUAUUUUAAUGCAUUAUAUAUAUUAUUAAAAUAGAGGUCAAUUCCAGCCACGAGUCCAAAUGGAUUGAGUUUUCUAAAAAAAAACUCAGCAUUGGCUGCUUGUACAACCCACAGUACAGGUUGGGUUAAUAUAGAUGUAUAUGACUAAGUAAGAACAUACCACUUAUGGUGUUCUUUGAAGAUGGCCAAUGACCGGCCAAUAAUUUAAGUAUCUGAUAUGUAUAUACAAUAACACUGGGGUCAGAAGUUGAAUAUGUUGAUGGGACACAUACAGAAAUGGUUGUGAGAAAUAGCUUUAAUUGCAUACAUAACACGUGCAAGUUUCCAUUGGCCCAGGGUGACAAGGAACUGGCAAAUAUGUUUGUACAGGAAAACUAAAAUGAGUAUUUUAAAAUGCCAUAUACAUCAAAUUAUGCGUAAUUGCCAUGCAUUAUAUGUACAUUUUUGACUGCAAAGCUCACAUCCAUCACACUUUGUGUAGCGCUGUUCUGAAAUUGUAGCCUUUCUUUCCCCAUCCCUCAUUUGGUAUCUGCUUUCUGAUUUUUUGGGGACAUCAGAAAUCACGUCCCUAUAAGGCGCAUUGCAAGCACAUCUAAUCAUGUGUAAUUUAUGUAAGCUCAUUGAGCAGGGCCCUCCACCUCUCUGUUCCUGUACGUCCAGUUGUCUGGUUAAAAGUUACGUGUCUGUUAGUCCACCCAUUGUACAGCACUACGGAAUCUGAUGGCGCUAUAUAAAUAAUAAAAUAAUAAUUAAAUAAAAUAAUAAUAAUACAUUACACUGGUGUAUAAAUCAAUGUCAGCUGUGUCCAAUUAAUCAAAUUCCUGUUAAUCUGCACCCGGUAAUAAUUAGGGCAUUGAUUAAAAGGAAUUUGAUUUGUUCGGAAAUUAAUUUGUACACACGUCUAUUACACCCGCAGGACAUGCACAAGAGAUUCAAUAGCGCUGUGCCCAUAUGCAACGUUGAGUGGGGCUGGACAAUGUACAACAUCACCCAACCCUGUAUAACAUAUCACUUUUUAAGCUGCUAUUCUGCUCUGUCCCAGAUUGGUGAAUCCAAAUCUACAAAACCACUAUUUUGCAUUUUUACUUCUUAAAAGAAAUAACAAUCCCAAGGUAUCUGUGUAAUCUCCAGAACACACAGCUCUUAAUUAUACUUGUAUUUAUUUAUUUGUUUGUUUAUGACAGACAAUAGCUUCUUAUAAAUUCUGGAUAUUUUAAUAAUUUCAAUAGUUAUAAUUGCAGCAAUUGAUAAAAAAAAAAUUCAGAAUAGAAAACAAACUCUAAAUAAUUAAUUUGGCAGAAUCCAUAUUGCCAUACAUCGUACAUCGCACACAAAUAGCUACACAAAUCAUUGGCGAUGCUGUGAGUUACGUAUACGUAACAGAAGGAUAGCGGAUUCUAUAAUGUUUCUGAAUUCUGAUCAGGUAUAGUGUGUUUAAAAUUAUUAAUAUAAUAACAUUCCCAAUGUGAAGUUGAUGAUUCAUGGUGUACUUUCCAAAGUCACGUCAAUGACUUUCCAAAUAUCUAUCUAUACGAGUUUUAGCAGGCAGGAGGACUUUAAUAAAAAGCCUUAUGAAUUUGCAGGAAUUUUAACGAGAUUUCUGUUUUCAAAUGCAAAUUACUAAUCAGCGUUUCAUUCUAGAAAAAAUAAAAUCAAUACAAACAAACCAGAAUUGUGUGACAUUAUUGUGUAUACAACAUGAAAAUAAUAAUCAGUAAUGGAAAAAAUACUUUUAAAGAUGUAUGUUGUUCAUGCAAACUACACCUUGUGUCAUUAUCAUCAACACACCCAUAUUAUUAUGUGUAUAUUCAUUAGUGCGCUAGUAAUUAUUUGUAUGCACACACAAAUGUGGUCAUUGGAACUUCGGGAUAAUAUGCUAAAUAAGAUUAGCAGUGGAUCUUACUGACCCCGGAUGACACAGUGACUUACUGAUGCAAAUUAAUGCAAUUGUAUAUACUGUAAAUUAUAAAAAGGUGUGUGCCAAGUUUUUAUUAUCGGACAGCUGGAUGUGAACUAACUAUAUUUAAAAAGAAGACCUUAUUUAAAAUGACCUUCAAGGCUGAAGGUAAUUUCCAUUUGUAAAUGCAUUGUAUAGAUAAUUCAACCCAAAACGUUGGUGCGCAAAGCAAACAUAUACGAACUUAAAUAUACUUAUACUUAAGUGUUCUUUUAAAGUUCCUUGUGUUGAGCCGUUAAGACAAAAAUAUAAGAACAUCUAGUGCAGAGCAUCUACACACUUUAAAAACAUAUAAUCAGAUAAACUCUUGGUAUCAAACUCACUGCAUUUGAGUGGAUUGUGCGCAGCUUUCACUGUAAGAACCCUGGAGGAAACAAGCUCCUUGAGUUCGGUGAAUCCACCAGGCAUAAACCGGACCACAGACAGAGACUGCUGGUAUUCGUAAAGCCUUUAUUAUUUCUCAAGCAGAGUUAAAAACAUUUAGAACAAAUCAAAUGUUAAAAUCCUUGGAAGGCUCUCUGUAACUAUUUAGCGUUUCUUCCCCCUCACAGUCUUGUCUCUCCUCACACGCAUGUUAUUAUAGAUAAUGUAUUGUUAAUAUAUAAAAAAAUAUAUAUAAUAGUCAACUUUAAAGUUCCUUUAGCUGAGAGCCCUCCCAGACCAGGAAAUGGCUUCUCCAAUUAGAAAGCUCUCAGUCUGGUCUACAGGGUCUAAUCUUAUCCCAUAAACUUCUGUAAAGAAAUUGGUUUAGGAAUACAUAGUUCAGCCCUUGGCAGUGGUUUCAUGACUCAUAGAUGAUGAGUGGAACUGCUUAAGCUGAUAGCAGCCACACUCAGCUAUACUAUUAGUUUGCUUUGUGCUUGGAGCUGUGUAUAACUUUUACCUGAGCUCCCAGCGAAUUUAACUAAUAAAUAAUAACACAUUCACUAUCACUAGCAUCAAGUGUUGGAAUCAUUUGGUCAAAUUUUGGUCCUGGUCUGGGGAAGUUCCACCCAAUAAAAAUUUUACUUUGACCCUUGCCACCAGAAGGACGUUGUCAGCACACAGUUCAAAAGCCAAAUCAUGUCAAAUCAGAAUUUCUUCUCCUUUGGAAAAAAACCACUGAUAAUUUAUAAAAGUCUGCAAAAGCUAUUUCCUAAGCAAUAUUAUUGAACCACAUGAAUUGGAUCACAAAGGGAUAACCUGUCCAACAUUUGGAAUAAUAGUUAACCUGCCCCAGUUGGGCUUCCCUCUCUAUGACUGGCUCUUUGGCUGAAAUCAACAGUUGCACUCUCUCAACCAAACAGCAUGACAAGGCACUCAGGGGUGGGUUACCAUGGCAACUCUCUGAUUCAUAAUCAAUGUCAGCCAGACGUAUAAAUAGACGUGGUUUGCACCCUACUGGACCACCAGUAGUCAACCUCCCCUGGCCCCCCGUCAUUAGGUAAGCAAAAGGGAGGAGGAAUAAACUUUAGGGUUGUUAGAAUAAUACUAAUUAUUUUAAAAAAUAUAUAAUUAAUGUCGCUAUUUUACCCUCACACACACUACAUCCCUUGUCGCUUCACAAGCAGACACACGGAACAGCCCUCUAUUUCCCAACUAAACGCACAAAGAUUACAAACCCUUUCUACACACACACGACAACAAAAACAACACUCUCCACACUUCACCACAAACAUCUUCAUCCACACACACACACUAACGCAAGCUGCAUCCCAACAAACAUACAAAACCACACAAAGCCCCCCCCCACAGACAUGCAACACCACAAGCAAACCAUACACACACCCUACUAAGGCAGCCGACUCCACAUACGCUACACCAAAAGCAAAUUCUCCCACAACACCACAGGAAGUCUACACACACUACAUCCGCCACAUGAGAGCACACUGGGACAGUGGUAAUACAGGGCCGCCAUCAGGUUGUGACAACCAGUACUCCAUGUGGAUCUCAGGCAAACCCGGACCCUUAAUGACCUCAGGCUUUUCAUUAAUAAACUGCACUAACUGCAGGAUGAAGUGGUUAUGGUGCUUCUAGUACACUACAAGCACCAGAACCACUUCAUCCUGCAGUCAGCGCAGUCCAUUAAGGGAAAGCUCGAGUUCUGCAAUGGCUGCCACAUUUCCCUCUCAUAUAGCAUAGCUAUAAAGAAAUCCAUGAGCACUGGGCAAAGUUAAAAUUUCCUUCAUAAUGGAACUCCUGGUAGAUAAUCUAUCAUUAAUUUAACAUUGACAUUAAAUAUGUGCUACCAGAGAGAUCAGACCCGUGCCAUUGUUCCAAAUGCAUACAGUCAUUGUGUAUAGUCUUGACUAGGUAUUUGUUUAUUGAACUGACCUUUCAUCCUUAUCUUUAUUCCAUCUCUGAAGGCUGAGAACACAGGGCACAAAAGGUGCAAAUCUCUUAUGUCUAAACGCAUCACACAAAAAAAAAGGCUAGAUACAAGCAAAAAUAUAAAUUCAGAAAUAUAUUCAGGGAUUAUUCAAUAUAAUCAUCUACUUAAGUGCUUAUACAAUAUCAACAUUAUUUCAUUUGGAGUAUAAAUAGUUGGUACUAGGUCAUAACAUACCUUCCAAUAUUUCAAGGAAGGACUCAUGAAUUUUAGGAGUAUGAGUGGUGUGUGGCCAGCAGCGGGCUGUUCGGUGGCUUACUGACAAUAACUUAUGCAACCAAAAUGUAAUUACAUGCAAAAACAAUAUUUAUUAAUAUCUUAUUAAUGCAGGUGGAUUUCUAGGCACUUUUUUUUUUCAAAUUGACAAUUUUUAUUGGUUUUUGAUUUUUCAAGAUAGGACAAUUAGGGUACAGAAAAGAAAAAGGGUUGUGGGGUAAAACAUUUGAUACAUGUUUGGUACAUCCAGAUAUGUGGUGCAUGCUACACGUUCUAUGAACACUAUCUGUUAAAUCACUUUGAGAGAUAUUUCAUCUGCUUAUAAGGUGUUGGGCUACUGUAUGUGAUACUAGAGUGAUGUUCUAUCGUCCACUCGUAAUACUCUUCAAUUGCCCACUGUUAGAAUAUCUUAUGCCCUUUGCUUUCUACUCAUUGUCAUCUAUACCCACCUCACUGAUAAUGUUAUUAACAGUGUAUCAGGGUUGAAUAUUAAACACUUAAACACAGUAAGAACUUAAACUUAAACCCAAACAUACUGUAAAGCUAUUAGACCUUCUCAGUAUGUUUGAUGGGUUGUCCAUGCCAGGCUGCGUUUCAUAUUCUGGUUUGUUGUCACCUACCGGUAUUGUACAUUUGGAAGCUGAGACCCUCGCCCCCUCGCUAUCUCCUACCUCUCUAGCGGCUCUCCCACCCUGUGUCUCUGUUGGAUAUUGAUGAAGUCUAGUGGGAUACCUGUGUUUUGGAGAAUUUGGGGUAUGUUGAAUUUGGCCUAUUCUGUAUGCCUGCCAUAGGCGGGAUGCCUCCCUCUGAAUGUUCCCUGCGGAGUAGUGGGUUAGUGAUAUCUCGUAUUCCACAUUAGUGGAGAUCUGAGUCACAAAUUCGGCUUUGGAGAUCAUCUUUGUGGUUUUCCAGUCCCUGCCGCCGUUAAUGUUAAAAAUAUUAAUUUGCAGACUGGUUUGGGGCAAUAAUUUGACAUAAUGAGAAGUAGGACUAAUGAAAGUAUUUAGAAAAUUGGGCAGACUAGAUGGGCCGAAUGGUUCUUAUCUGCCGUCACAUUCUAUGUUUCUGUGGUUUCUAUGUUUCUAGGUAACCUUUGACAGAGGGUGGGAAAUCCGUGCCAGUAUUAUCUUUAAUUACAACUUUUACCUAUUCCAGAAUUGUGCCACUAAUGGGCAUGACCAACAUAUGUGGAGGGUAUUCCCCACUUCUGUUUGGCAUCGCCAACAUUUGUUAUCGCAUAAAUGAUGCAUUUUUGCCACUUUGUCCGGCAUUAAAUACCACCUAUAAAGUAUUUUCCUUGAUAUUUUCAGGUGGGAUGCACAGGAGGACAUUCCCUUAAAAGCUAGAAACACCUGUUCCCAUAAUUUUUGCACUAACACUUCCCCUAUAUCGUUAUGCCACUCUUUAUGGAACGUACACAAGUGAUUUGGACAAGGCGUCGUAAGUGCUGUGUAACAGUACGGGAGAGUUUUCUUUUGUUUGAGUGUAUUUAGGCACAUUUUUUCGAAUGGUGUUAUGGGUUUUUGAUGAUCCAUUAUGUCUGGGUGGGUUAUCUCAACUCUCAGUUUUUGUUGUAGUUGGUGAUAGGAAAAGUUGGCCAAAGCUGGUAGGAGGAACUCUGUUUGCAGGGUUUGGAAACUCUUAAAGGGACUCUCCAGUGCCAGGAAAACAAACCAUUUUCCUGGCACUGCAUGUCCCCUCUCCCUCCCACCCUCCAUCCCAAGUUGCUGAAGACAUCAAAACCUAAUGCGCGGGGGAUACCUAAUGCGCAUGCGCGGCAAUGCUGCGCACGCGCAUUAGACCUCCCCAUAGGAAAGCAUUGGAAAAUGCUUUCAAUGCUUUCCUAUGGGGGUUUCAGCGACGCUGGAGGUCCUCACAUCCAGCGUCGUUAUAACACACUCUUCGUGUUCUAUGAACACGGAAGUGACCUCUAGUGGCUGUCUAGCAGACAGCCAUUAGAGGAGGAGUUAACCCUGCAAGGUAAUUAUUGCAGUUUAUGAAAACUGCAAUAAUUACACUUGCAGGGUUAAGGGUAGUGGGAGUUGGCACCCAGACCACUCCAAUGGGCAGAAGUGGUCUGGGUGCCUAGAGUGUCCCUUUAAUGGUCCCUAAUUCUAAGACUUGGUGUAUAUGCGUUAUCCCAUGGUUCAACCAUGCUUUCAUUGGGGUCACUAGAGACCAUGGAAUAUUCAAACACACCAUAUGUUUAUUUGUGUCCCAUACUGCUAGCAUUAAUUUAGUCGUGGGCAGUAUCGAUUUUGAGCUCUCUUGGUAUCCAUAUGUAGUUUGAUAGGUGCGUGCUCCCCACCUUCUGUGAUUCCAGUUCAACCCAUUGUGGCAUGUAUGAUUUAGUAUGGCAAGUAAGAAUGUUAGCCAAGUGUGUUGCCCUAUAGUAUUCUCUCAGAUUAGAGAAACCCAAUCCUUCAUUGCCUAUCCUAAGGGUCAAAGUCUCCACGGGACUCUAGUUCUCUUGUUAUUCCACCCAAACCUUACCAAGGCCGCCUUAAAGGCUUUAAUGAAUUUUAAUGGUACCUGGAUUUGUAAGGUGCGAAAAAGGUAGAGAAUUUUUGGUAAUAUGACCAUUUUUAUUGCCGCGCACCUUCCCACCCAAGAGAUAAACCUACCCCCCAUUUCCUUAGUGUCACUUCUAUAUCCUGUUGGAGUUUGUGGUAGUUCAUUUUAAAUAAUGAGUGUGGGGAUUUCAUAAGUCUGAUACCUAAAAAUGUAAGAUAGUCCUGCCUCCAGUCAAAAUUAAAGGCUUGUUUGAGCCGUUGAGUUUUUGUCAUAUUGAGUUUAUAGUAUGAUUGAGCACUGUAACUGUGCAGUUCAUGUUGUAAGUUUGGUAGGGAUAUUAAAGGUUGUGAGAGGGUUAGUAGGACGUCAUCUGCAAACAAGUUUAAUUUGUAUUCCCUAUAUCCCACAUGAAUGCCGUGUAUGCUCGUAUUACGUCUAAUCUUUUCAACUAGAGGUUCUAGUGCUAGAACAUAGAGUGGUGACAGGGGGAACCCUUGCCUGGUUCCAUUUGUUAUUUGAAAAGGGUCCGAUUGGAAACCCGAUAUCUCUAAACACGUUUUUGUACAGCAUUAGUAUAUUGUAUACACUCAGACACACAACAUGGAGCUUGUAGAAAACAGGGAAAUUAGAAUAGAAAAGAGGAACAGAGGGAUUUGGGGACAAAAUAGGGAAUAUCCUCCAAAACACGGACACCUGGGAGGUAUGUAACAACCUGUCGUUACAAGUAAAUUACACAUUUUAGGCCAAAAUUGCAGAAUUGUCAGCUUUGUUUCAGUUUUGCUACCAUUUAUCAUCUAUAUCCCUUCUCUGCUCAAAGCUAUGGUAGCCUUUCCUAUUUGGUCAGUGUAAUGAGGCCUUAUUUGGAGUUUGAGAUGGAAUUCCUAACUGUUUUUGUUGGGGAUAUUCUCUUGUUAUGCUGGAUUUUACUGUUCCAAGUUGAAAUAACUAAUCUAUCCAAAGUUAUACAUACAUACCAGGCCCGGACUGGCCAUUGGGCAUACCGGGCAAAUGCCCGGUGGGCUGUGGUGGCCAUGGGCCGAAGCCGGCAGUGGAGGUCACAGGAUCUCCCCAGCCAUUCCAUGCAGGGCCCGCGCUAUCUGAGCGCCAGCCCCCCGCUGUGUUCCAUGACAGGCCAGUGGGGAGAUCAAAGAUCACCCUCACCGUCCCACAUGCAGUGUGAUGCAGCUGCCGGCUGGGGAGGGAUGGAGACAGGAGAGGACCCAGAAGAGUUUGCAGUUCCGUCUGGUUCCUCUUGCCAUGGCAACACUCUGGGUCUGGCAAUAGUGAACUCUAGGCCCACAGGCUAGAGUUCCCUCACCACUAGGACCACCUGGAAUGGCAGCACGGUGCCCCCUCCGAGGCUAAAGGUAAGAAGGGAGGGGGGAUAUAAUGCUUGGUUUUUUUGUUUUGUUUUUAUUAUCCCCCAACACAUAAUCCCUCUAAAAACACACACACACCCUCACAAACACAUCACCCUACCACACACAGCACCCUCACACUCACAAACACACACACACAGCACCCUUACUCACACACACAGCACCAUCACACACACACACACUGCACACCUCACACACAUACUGCACACCUCACACACAACACCCUCACACACACACUGCACAAUUCACACACAGAACCCUCACACACACUGCACACCUCACACACACAGCACCCUCAUACACAUACUGCACCCACCAACACACAGCACACACACAGCAUCCUCACACACACUGCACCCCUCACACACUAUACUCCUCACAAAUACACACUACACCCUUCACACACACACUGCACACCUCACACAUACACACAGCAGCCCCCAAACACACUGCACAACUCACGCACACACACACACAAUACUUCCAAACAUAUAUGUAUAUAUGCUACAGAACCCCUCACACACAUACUGCACCCCUAAACACAUUACAUUCCAGACACACACUAGAUCCCUUACCCAGCUCUGGAUCAUAUACACAUAUACACACACUGGAUCCCUAUAUACACUCUAAAUCUUCUACACACACACUCACUAGAUCUCCUAUACACAGUGUGGGUCCUUCAAACACCAACUAGAUCCCCUACACUACACACACACACUGCACCACCUACACUACACACUCUGGAUCCCCUAUGCACACACUAGAUUCAAGGGGUCCAUUGGGUGGCCCAUGCUGUUAGGGCCACCCGAUGGAUAUGGAUUUUCAGGAGGCCCGGUCAGCGCUGCGGCGCCUUAACAGCGCGACCGGACCCCCUGUGAUGACAUCACAUGCUGGGAGGAAGUGACUGCCCAUCACUCCUCCCAGCAAUCACACAGCCUGCGCAGGAGGAAGCAGAGGAGGGAGUCAGAGUGGGAACUCUGACUCCCAUCAACCUGAGCCACCACUAGACCCCAGGGAAAGUCACCCUCCUGCACAUAAAAGGUAGGAAACAGGAGGGUGACUUAAACAUUUUAUAUAUGUGUGUUUCUGUGUAUGUGUGUAUAUGUAUGUAUGUGUGCCUGUCUGUUUGUAUGUAUGUAUGUGUCUUUGUAUGUAUGUAUGUAUGUAUGUAUGUGUGUCUUGUGUGUAUGUGUCUGUCUGUAUGUAUGUGUCUGUGUGUCUGUAUGUGUGUAUGUGUCUGUAUGUGUGUAUGUGUCUGUGUGUGUCUGUAUGUAUGUGUCUGUGUGUGUUUGUCUGUCUGUAUGUGUGCCUGUCUGUUUGUAUGUAUGUAUGUGUCUUUGUAUGUAUGUGUGUCUUGUGUGUGGCUGUCUGUCUGUAUUUGUGUGUGUGUGUGGCUGUCUGUCUGUAUGUAUGUUUCUGUCUGUGUGUAUGUACGUACGUGUGCCUGUCUGUUUGUAUGUAUGUGUCCUUCUCUGUAUGUGUGUUUUGUGUGUGUGUGUGUCUGUGUGUAUGUGUGUCUGUGUCUGUGAGUGUGUUGGUCUGUAUGUAUGUGUCUAUGUGUAUGUGUCUGUAUGUAUCUGUCUUUAUGUGUCUAUGUGUGUGUGUGUGUGUGUCUCUAUGUAUGUAUGUAUGUAUGUAUGUGUCUGUAUGUGUGUAUGUGUCUCUGUGUAUCUGUAUGUAUGUGUGUCUGUUGGGGGAGGAGAGGGAGGGAUGGAGGGGGGCAUGGAUCAGUUUCGCACCAGGGCCCCAUGCAUUGUGUGUACGACACUGUCUCUGGUCCUUAGAAUAGUCAGGAUUAUGGUAAAAGAACUCCAGAAAUAUAAGAAAUCAAAGGUUGAUCAAAACCAUAUAUAACAAGUGUAGGCACACUGAAAACAGAGAUGGGUCUGUUAGUUAAUGAAGACCAGGAAAAGGCAGACAUUUUAAAUAACUAUUUUUCUUCAGUAUAUAAUAAUGAAGAUCCUAUGGUAAGAGAUAAGCAAAUGAUUGCUGCAACAAACUUGCAGAUAACUUGUGAUUGGAUAACUCGAGAAAAGGUGCUACAGCUAUUAAAGAAAAUUAAUGUAAAUAAAACUCUGGGGCCUGACGGUAUCCACCCAUGAGUACUUAAGGAGCUAAGUGGGGAAAUAAGUGAACCUCUGCAUUUAAUUUUUCAAGAUUCUUUUGUUUCAGGUCUUGUACUGGAGGAUUGGAGGAAGGCAGAUGUUGUUCCUAUAUUUAAAAAGGGUACAAAAUCCUUGCCUGGAAAUUAUAGACCUGUGAGCUUAAAGGACCACUAUAGUGCCAGGAAAACAUACUAGUUUUCCUGGAACUAUAGUGCCCUGAGGGUGCCCCCACCCUCAGGGACCCUCUUCCGCCGGGCUUGAUGGCAAGGAAAGGGGUUAAACUUACCUUUUUUCCAGCGCAGGGCGGGGAGCUCUCCUCCUCCUCUCCGCCUCCGAUCCUCCUCUUCGGUUGAAUGCGCAUGAUUUGCACAGUGAGAAGCACGCAAACGCCUCUAGCGGCUGUCAAUGAGACAGCCACUAGAGGCUUUAGAGGCUGGAUUAACCCAUUUAUAAACAUAGCAGUUUCUCUGAAACUGCUAUGUUUAUAAAAAAAAGGAGUUAAUCCUAGAGGGACUAGCACCCAGACCACUUCAUUAAGCUAUUAGGGAUAAUAUUCAGGAAUUCAUUGGGAAGAACUUUGUUAUUAGCAAUAAUCAGCAUGGUUUUAUGAAACAUAGGUCAUGUCAAACUAACCUAAUUGCAUUCUACGAAGAAGUAAGUAGAAGUAUAGAUCAGGGUGUUGCAGUGGAUGUGAUCUACUUGGAUUUUGCCAAGGCAUUUGAUAUGGUUCCUCACAAUAGGUUAGUCUUCAAACUAAAAGAAAUUGGUCUAGAUGAAUAUUCUUGUUCUUGGGUAGAACAUUGGCUUAAGGAUAGAGUACAACGAGUUGUCAUUAAUGGUAAAUUUUCAAGUUGGACAAAAGUGGUAAGUGGUGUCCCUCAGGGUUCUGUUUUGGGACCGCUUCUAUUCAACAUAUUUAUAAAUGAUCUUGAAAUAGGCAUUGAAAGCCAUGCAUCAGUGUUUGCGGAUGACACAAAACUUUGUAAAGUAAUAAAAUGUGAACAGGACAUUGCCUUGCUGCAGAGGGAUUUGGAAAGAUUGGGGGACUGGGCACUAAAAUGGCAGAUUAAAUUUAACGUAGAAAAAUGCAAAGUUAUGCACUUUUGGGUUAAGAAUGCACAAGCAAUUUACACCCUAAAUGGUAGUGAAAUAGGGAUAACCACACAAAAAGUAUUUGGGAAUUGUUAUAGACAACACAUUAGGCAGCAAUAUGCAAUGUCAAUCUGCCGUUGCUAAGGCCAGUAAGGUUUUGUCAUGUAUAAUUAGGGGCAUAAAUUCUUGAGAUGAAAAUAUAAUUUUGCCUCUUUAUAAAUUGCUGGUAAGACCACACCUUGAAUAUGCUGUGCAAUUUUGGGUACCUGUUCUAAAGAAAGAUAUCAUGGCACUAGAAAAAGUGCAGAGACGAGCUACAAAAUUGAUAAAAGGAAUGGAGCAUUUUAGUUAUGAAGAAAGGUUAAAAAAUGUAAAUCUCUUUAGUUUGGAAAAACGACGCCUGAGAGGGGAUAUGAUAACAUUAUACAAAUAUAUUCGGGGCCAGUACAAACCAUUAUCUGGAAAUCUAUUCAUAAACAGGGCUAUACAUAGAACACAAGGUCACACAUUUAGGCUGGAAGAAAGGAGAUAUCAUCUAAGGCAAAGAAAAGGUUUUUUUUUACAGUAAGAGCAAUAAGGAUAUGGAAUUCUUUGCCUGAAGAGGUGGUUUUGUCAGAGUCUAUACAGAUGUUUAAACUGCAAUUGGAUAAAUACUUGCAAAAACAUAACAUACAGGGAUAUAAUUUCUAAUUAGUGGGGUAGUAGCUGCUUGACCCAAGGAGACAUCUGACUGCUAUUUUGGGGUCAAGAAGGAAAUUUUGGAAGCGCUCAGACUGGGUUUUUUGCCUUCUUUUAGAUCAACAGUAAAAACAUAUGUGAGGAAGGCUGAACUUGAUGGAGGCAAGUCUCUUUUCAGCUAUGUAACUAUGUAACCAGGGCUCGAGUCCUGCAGGAACGCAUGGGAACGGCGUUCCCGCACUUUUUCCAAAGCAGGAACGCCGUUCCCGUUACCUGUCCUGCAGGACCGGCCCUGCUACCUGCACAGAGGGGCCAGCACACGCUGUGUUCCUUCUCCAGCUAUAACUCUCGCGAGACCCGCGGCUGUUACCAUGGCAACACUCCGCACAGGCGAGUCUCGCGAGAGUGAGAGCUGGAGAACGAACACAGCCUGUGAUGGCCCCUCUGUGCAGCGGCUGCCUCCCUCCAACAUACCACCGGACCACCAGGCGAUCUCCCCCCUCCCUGACAAGGUAAGAAGCAGGGAGGGGGGAAUAAAAUAAAAAAAUAUAAACACAAAGUAAGAAAAAAAUGCUUUCCCCCCCACAUCAUCCAGCACACACACACCCAUCAUCCAGCACACACACACCCAUCAUCCAGCACACACACACCCAUCAUCCAGCACUCACUCACACACACAUCAUCCAGCACUCACUCACACACACAUCAUCCAGCACACACACACCCAUCAUCCAGCAUCCAGCACUCACACACCCAUCAUCCAGCACUCACACACACCCAUCAUCCCAGCACUCACACACCCAUCAUCCAGCACUCACACACCCAUCAUCCAGCACACACACACACAUCAUCCAGCACUCACACACACAUCAUCCAGCACUCACUCACACACAUCAUCCAGCACUCACACACACAUCAUCCAGCACUCACUCACACACAUCAUCCAGCACUCACUCACACAUCCAUCAUCCAGCACUCACUCACACACCCAUCAUCCAUCACUCACACACCCAUCAUCCAUCACUCACACACCCAUCAUCCAUCACUCACACACCCAUCAUCCAGCACACACACACCCAUCAUCCAGCACACACACACCCAUCAUCCAGCACACACACACAUCAUCCAGCACACACACCCACAUCAUCCAGCACUCACACACACAUCAUCCAGCACACACGCACACACACACAUCAUCCAGCACUCACACACACGUCAUCCAGCGCGCGCACACACUGCAUUCAUUAUACACACUCUUCACUCACUACAAGCACACUACAUUCACUAUACACUCACUACAAACACACUACACUCACUAUACACCCUCUGCAUUCACUAUACACAUUCUGCACUCACUACACACUACAUUCACUAUGCACACUCUGCAUUCCCUACAAACACACUACAUACACUGCAUUCAUUGUACACACUCUGCACUCACUACAAACACACUACAUUCAUUAUACACUCUGCACUCACUACAAACACACAUUCACUAUACACACUCUGCAUUCAUUAUACACACUCUGCACUCACUACAAAAACACUACAUUCACUAUACACACUGCACUCACUAGAAACACACUACAUUUAUUAUACACACUGCACUCACUACAAAUACACUACAUUUAUUAUACACACUGCACUCACUUCAAAUACACUACAUUCAUUAUACACACUCUGCACUCACUAAAAACACACUGCAUUCAUUAUACACACUCUGCACUCACUACAAAUACACUACAAUUAUUAUUCACACAGCACUCACUACAAACACACUACAUUUAUUAUUCAUACUCUGCAUUCACUACAAACACACUACAUUCAUUAUACACACACUGCACUGCACUAUAUGCAUAGGAGUGUAUUUUUUUUUUUUUUAAGGGGGGGGGGGUUGGAAGCGGGAAUCUUGGGUGAGUUCCCACACUUUUUUCCCCAGGACUUGACCCCUGUAUGUAACUAUGUAACUUGCUAAAAUACAGAAUGCAUCACAUGCUGAUAUACAAAAUACAUGAUCCUAUACAAUAAACCACAAAAGGACAACCAUAAUGUGGUGAGGUGAGUAUAUAUAUAUUCAUAUUGAAUGAUAUACCCUGGGUCAGAACAUGUAGAUGUGCUGAUACUAGAGUGAGGCCCGAGAUCGUAGGGCGGACAGGCCGGCAGAACUAGCACAUAUCAUGACUUCUCACAAUGUUUUUAUCACAGUAAGCACCAUCUACCUACCUAACUUGUUGAAGGCAGAAGGGCCUUUGCCAACAUUCACAAUGGACGCAAUUAGCACUGCAUGUUUUGUAUGUCAAAAGUGUGUUCCAUAUUACUAUUUUUUUCCAGUUGGCUAUUGUCAUCUACACACUUAUACUAUUGAAACACCUGGUCAGAAGUUAUUUUGUGGUUAGAUAUAUGAAGUAUCUGUAUUAAGCUACUUGUUAAAGAAAAUAAAAGACAAAACUCACAAAUUACAUUGGGCAGACUAUAUUUACAUUUACCCUCAUUUUACAUUCACUGUUCAUAUUGGUAUGACUAAUGCUAUAUGUAAACCAAAAACAAUACGGUUAUCCAGCACCAAGGUGUGCCCCGAUGUAAAAUGAUCAGGGUUUGGUGACCUCAGCAUAAUCUUGCAUCUCCUAAUGUAGCGUUUUUAAAUCUGGCACACUCAUUAAUUCUUCUAGUUUUCAUAAACCACAUUACAAUCAGUUAAACCCCAAACACAUCUACGUGACCUACUUUGCAUCUCAAAGUAUCCACAACAUCACCAAGAAAAAAACUAAAAAGGGCAGGUCCUAGGACUAUUCCACUGCCUGCAGUUCAUCUUAUGAAAAUAAAUCUGAAAAAUUUCCACUUCUCUACACAGCCUUAAAGGAUCACUAUAGGGUCAGGAACACAAACAUGUAUUCCUGACCCUAUAGUGUUAAAACUACCAUCUAGCCCCCCUUGGCCCCUCUGGCCUCCAUAAAUAUAGCAAAAUCUUACUGUAUUCAAGCCUGAAGCUGUAACUCUGCAUUGUGUUAGACUCAGAAAAACAAGCUGUCUGCUGACAUCAGUAGAAGUGGUAGCCUGAUCCAAUCACAAUGCUUCCCCAUAGGAUUGGCUGAGAAUGACAAACAGGCAGAGCCAGCAUGAUUCAAACACAGCCCUGGCCAAUCAGCAUCUCCUCAUAGAGAUGAAUCGAAUCAAUGAAUCUCUAUGAGGAAAGUUCAGUAUCUGCAUGCAGAGGGAGGAGAUACUGAAUGUGUGGAUGCAUUUUAGGCAGCCAUGACCCAGGAAGGAUCUCUAACAGCUAUCUGAGGAGGGACCAGUGAAGUUAUAACUAGGCUGUAAUGUAAACACUGCAUUUUCUCUGAAAAGACCGUGUUUAUAGCAAAAAGCCUGAAGGUAAUGAUUCUACUCACCGGAACAAAUUCAAUAAGCUGUAGUUGUUCUGGUGACUAUAGUGUCCCUUUAAAGGGACACUAUAGUCAACAGAAGAACUUCAGCUUAAUGUAGUUUAUGAUCUUUAUGAUCUUUAUACAAAAUAUCUUGAUAACUAUGUUGUCUACUGAGAUACAAUUAGUACCAAAAUUGUCAAAUUAGAUCUAAUGGCUUCCACUGGGCAAUAGCUUGACUUGAGCUAUUGUGAGUGCAAAAUGUCCUUUACCAUAUAAAUAAGCUAUCUAUUUUAAGCAUAUCUCUCCAAACACUGUAUUAUUUAAAGUAUUAUUUUAUAAAUGGACCCAUGAACAAAGAGUCUAUUGACAUUACACAAGCUUAAAUCCAGUGUGUUUGUUUAUGGUUGGUCCACAAUAGGAUUCCAUGAGUGAUGUAAGAUUUAUUUCACUGUAUGAAGACUUAUUUGGUAAACAGUAGCAAUAUAUCACCAAAUAUACUUUGUUUCCAUGCACCCCCAUUCUAAAAUUAGGUUAAAAUAUAGAUUUCACUUUGUGUUUAAUAAUGUUUCACCUUACCAAUAAUCUAUAGAAAUUGAUACUAGUGUCAUAAAAAUAUUAUACAUUUUUAUUUUUCAGUUAGAAAAUGUUCUACUGGACACUGAAACUAUGUUUUAAAAAAAAGGUUAUAAUUGUUUCCAGAAGGAUCAGGAACUAAAUAAAGUAAAAUAAAGAGCACUCGGCAAAGUACGUCAUUCGUGUUUUGGUAUUUCGUACGGGAUAUUAACAUAUAAAAAAAAACAAAAAAAAACAUGCAAGUCAUUCAUCUGCAUAUCAUAUGUAUACAGGUGAUUUUAAAAUAUCAACACAGAAUAUAACAGACAAGACAUCCUGGCAACAAAUAUUAGGGAGAAGCAGAACUAUAUCAUUAUCACAUUCUAAAAAAAAUAAGAAACUGGUUUUGAGCAGAAGGCAGAAUACCACAUAUAAAAUCAAGCAGAAAAAAACCUUGAAACUUUAUUGUUAUAUACAUACAGUCAUGGGAAAAUGGAAGUACAACCUCUUUGAAUUCUAUUGUGUUACAUAUUGAGACAUAAUAACAAUCAUCUGUUCCUUAGCAGGUAAAUACAACCUCAGGUGAACAGCAGCCCAUCACAUAUUACACCUUAUCAUGAUUUACUUGACAAAAAUAAAGCCAAAAUGGAGAAACCAUGUGUGAAAAACUAAGUACACUCGUACUGCUUUCAUAGGAAUUAAGAGCCUGACUGCAGUCAGGUGCUUCUAAUUAAAUGCCCUUGAUUAAUUGAUCAUCAGCAAGUGUGGCAACCUCUAUAGUUUUAGUGGUUUGCUGGUCUGGAGCAUUUGUGUAUGUGUUAACACAAUGCCAAGGAGGAAAGGCAUCAGCAAUGAUCUUAGAGAAGCAAUUGUUGAAGUCAUUUCCAAACAUUUUAUAGUCCAUCAUUUUGCAGUGAGGAAUAUUAUUCAAAGUAUGCAAAUUCACCACCUGAUCACCUGUCAUCUGAUAAGGUGAGACCGUGCAGUGCUUAAAGAAAUUGUAAAAGAGCUACUUUUUACACUCAACAGACCUAAGUUAGCAUGUUAAAUGUUAAAUUCCAACGACAAAACAAGUAGAAAAAGAUUAAACAAGUAUGGUUUGUUUGGAAGGGUUGCCAGGAAAAAUCCUCUCCUCUCUAAGAAGUACAUGGCAGCAGGGCUUAGGUUUGCAAAGUUGGAUUUGAACUAACCACAAGACUUCUAGAACAAUAUCCUUUGGACAGCUGAGAUCAAAGUAGAAAUGUUUGGCCACAAUACACAGCACCAUGUUUGGCAUUAGCCAAACACAGUAUCAGCACAAAUACCUCAUACCGACGGUCAAUCAUUAUGAUGGAGGGGUGGUGGUUUCUGCUUGUUUUGCAGCCACAUGACCUGGGAACCUUGCAGUCACUGAAUUGACCAUGAACUCCUCAGUAUACCAAAGUAUUCUAGAGUCAAAUAUGAGGUCAUCUAUCUCAAGCACACCAGCACAUCUACAACAGAAUGGAUGAAAAAGAAAAGAAGCAAUGUGUUGUAAUAGCCAGUCAAAGUCCAGACCUCAGCCCAAUGGAAAUGCUGUCACAGGACCUUCAGAGAGCUGCGUAUAAACAAAUGCCAGCAAACCUCAAUGAACUGAAGCAACGUUGUAACUAAGAGUGCGCCAAAAUUCUUCCACAACGAUGUGAGAGACUGAUAAGGUCAUACAGAAAACAAUUACUUCAAGUCAGGGCCGUCUAUAAUAUGAUUAGGACCCUGGGCAAUGCAUUUUCUUGGGCCCCAUGGGCCCUGUCCCUGCCACUGCCUCACCCCCCAAUUACGUCCAACCCGCAAUCACACUGACAGACGUACUGGCACAUACACACACAGACAGACAUUAAAACAUUCACAGAUACAUACUGACACACAAAGUCACUACACACAAAUAUAUACUGGCAGACAUACUGACACACACACAGACAUACAUACAUACACAGACACAUACAUUAACAGAUAUACUGACACACACACAAACACAUACACUGACAGAUAUACUAAAACACAGACACAUACACUGACAGACACAUUGACACACACACACACAGGCAUACUGACAUAUACACACAGGCAUACUGACAUAUACACAGACAGACGUAAUGGCUGAUACAGACAGACAUUAAACAUUCACAGAUAUAUACUGACACACACAUACACAGACAUACAAAUAUAUCCUGGCAGACAUACUGACACACACAGACACAGACAUACAUACAUACAUACACACACAGACACAUACACUGACAGACAUACUGACUGACACACACAUACACACACAUACUUACAUACACACACAGACAUACUGACACACAAAGACAUGCUGACACCCACACACAGACAUACUGACAUACACACAGACAGACUGGCACAUACACACAGACAGACAUUAAAACAUUCACAGAUACAUACUGACACACACAUACACUGACACACAAAUAUAUCCUGGCAGACAUACUGACACACACGUACACACACACACAGACAUACUGGCAUACACGCAGACAUACUGACACACACACACGGACAUACACACACAGACAUACUCGCAUACACACACACACAGACAUACUGGCAUACACACACAGACAUACUGGCAUACACACACACACAUACUGACACACACACACACACACACACACAGACAUACUGGCAUACACACAGACAUACUGGCAUACACACAGACAUACUGGCAUACACACACAGGCAUACACACACAGACAUACUGACACACACACACACAGACAUACUGGCAUACACACAGACAUACUGGCAUACACACACAGACAUACUGACACACACACACACACACACACACACACUGACACACACACACAGACCUACUGACAUACAUUUAGCCACCCUCCAGGUUCUUACCUUUUCCUGGAGGGUGGUUUCCCUGGUCCAGUGGCAGGCUGAGGCAGAUGGGAGUUCUCCUCUGGAACUCCCCUCCUCCCUGCCUUCCUCCUCCCGCGCGGCCAUUAUCUCCGGUGGGAGGAAGUGACGUCACUUCCUCCCAGCCGGCUGCAGAACCGGAAGAGGGGCCCGGUCGCGCUGUUUAAGCGCCACAGCGCCCGACCGGGCCCCUGCUGACACAUGCUCCCCGGGUGGCCCUUAGUGCAUGGGCCACCCGGGGAGCCUCCUCAGUGUGCGGGAGCCGCACCGCCCGGUCCAUAGGGGCUGCACAAAUCGCGGGGCCCACAGAGCAGCUGCUCUGGGCCCCCAGGAGCAACUGGGCCCGGGGCAGCUGCCCCGUUUGCCCCGCGUUAAAGACGGCCCUGCUUCAAGUUAUUGCUGUUAAAGGUGGUAUUACAAACUAUUGAAUCAUAAUGUGCACUUCACACAGGGCUUCACCAUUUUGGCUUUAUUUUUGUUAAAUAAAUCAUGACACAGUGUAAUAUGGCAUGUGUUGUUGUUAACCCGAGGUUGUAUUUCCCUAAUUUUCAAACCUGCUAAGGAACAGAUGUAAAACCAUAGAAUUCAUAGAGGGUGUAAUUUGUUUUUUUCUAAUACUGUAAAUACAUAUAAACUGAUCAGCCACAACAUUAAAACCACUUGCCUUAUAUCAUCAACAGUUGUGAUAUAUUGCGGUCUUUUACGAUUUCAUUCAAAAAGGAAUUUUUAUUGCAUUUUGUUAAUAUCCAAUUUGAUGAUUAAGAUCAAAAGAGAGCAGAAAAUAUAUACUGUUGGUGAGCUUUGUCAUUUUGGUGUUAUAGACAUAGGUGACAGGUGAAUUUCAGUAUUUUUUUCUAAAUAUAAACUAGUUCAACUAACAACUUUUUAAUGGAUGAAGACUUGUUUUGUAUAGGUAUGGUUUUUGACCCUAUACAAUCAGAGAUGUGAUAAUUAAGACCAUGUCUAAAAAAAAAAGCCUCAAUUUAUAUUUACACCUCAACAGUCAAUACUCAUUUUAUCAUGUUUAUUGGAGAACAAUUGUACUUGUGGCUCUAUCCAGAGGGCAAAUAGCAGCAGGGUGAUUGGGCAUCCUUGAUGGGUACCAAUUAGGUUUAAGAAAGUGGGAAAUAUUACUUCUAUUGUUGUCGCUGAUGAGCACAGAGUUUGGUAUAGGGCCUGAAGGCAUCUUAAUGUUAACCCUAUCAAAAACAAGAGUUGUAGACUGAGCCCUUGGGUGAUCCAUAAGGUUAAGUUUUCUCUGGAUGUUAUAUGGUGCACCUUUUGGUAACAUGGUGCAGCAAUAUACAAAAAAUGUUACACACAUCAUGUUUUUUUGGGGGGGGGGGGUUCGUGUGGAUUCGUACAUCAAUGCCUGUAUUGUCACAACAGCAGUAACAAGCGCAGUCAUAGUCAACAUUAUAAAACAUAGGUAUGGCAUGAGUAAGCUUGGCACAUUUUUUGUUAUUUAGUAAUUCAGGAUGUAGCAUAAUGUGAAGAACAACAUGAAACAGUUCGUACAAGCACAUGUUUGGGGGAAAGCUAUACGUUUGGUUUGAGAGUGUGAUAUUCGCAUGAGCCAAUGCUUGUGUAAGGAACUAUCUCUCAGAGCAGAGAAGCGGGUGCGUGGGCUUGCGAUGCGUGAGUGUGAGGUAUGCAAUGCAUAGGUAUGAUUGAAAUUUAACUUAGAGUGAUACCCCCCCUUUGAGCUUACAGUGAUACCCCCUCAGUCAAAUAAGAUCAUUAGAUUCAUUGUAGCUAAAACUAAACACUAAACACUAAACACAUGUGAGUGUAUAACUUAAGUCCAUAGAGGUAUGAAGCAAUGGGCACUGUGCCUGCUGUAUAGUCCCAGUCCUGAUUCUCAGGACAGCCAAUGCCCUGCACGUGCUGAGGGUAUCCGCGCUUUGCUGGUCGGUACUUCCCACUAGGUAACCCAGGAGUAAUGAUGCAUAGGGUCCCUGUUCCGUGAGGUUGUGAGCUUGGAGGGGUAUAUAGAGGCCUCUUUGCGAUUCCCGAUGCUCGGUGUGCCCCAUGACCUAGUCGCAGGCUGCCACAGCUCUGGGAUGGCCCCUCCGAUGUUGUCUUGUUAUUAGGUUUCUUGCCCUUUCUUUCAUCAGUCAUUUUGGGCUAGUUAUGCCCCACCGGGUCAUGUGCCGUGUCUCAGCCCGCAGUUGAGGUGGCCAUAGGCGAUGUCUGUUGGGCGCUCCCAUGGCUCCGGGCACCAACCCCGGUCUGCUGCUGCUCUCGGUAAGGCUCCAUGAGUGUGGCCCCCAAAUGGUUCCGUGCUGGUGGUGGCGCGUAUAGUUAGGGGGGGUUAUUGCUUUCCUCUGCUUGUCUACACGUGUUGGGCUCUGUGGUAGGUAAUAGGGCAGAGACUCUGGCUCCGGAGGUCGCAUGUGAGCCUCCAAUUCCUUCCAAAAGGAGGUGAAAAUUCUGUUCAACCGGAGCUCCGUUUCCAGCCUUGCACUACAUGAGUCUUUGGUGCGGGAGGCAUCCGCCAUUUUGUAAGCCUCAUUGGUUGUAAGCUCGGGACUCCAUGUCACUGUCGUGUUCUCACUGCUUUGCAGGUUGAUUGUGUGAGGGUGGACCGGGAUGACCCCCACCGGUCCAGAGGGGAGGGAACGAAGGCCCAGGUUUAGAUUCUUGGCUAGUCGCGGCAGCGGGAAAGCGGCCGUCGCUCCCGCGCCUGCCAUGCUUGUAGGCUUCACCAGAGUUCCGGGUGAAAACUGCAUGGACUGUCGCUUGGGUUGUAUCAUCUUGUUCACCUCAAUGUCCUCUCUCGCUUGGUGGCCUUACUAUGUCGGAUAAUCGCCGUUUUAUUAGCAAGAUCCUGUUUUAUUUACUUCGUUCAGCAGGAGCUGCUGAGGUUAGCGUCCUUACGGCUCUGUGGUCAGGCCCCGCCCCACACAUCAUGUUUUAAGCAUAUAUUUUCUUGUUUUGCUAUAAAAACUCAGUAGUAAGUCUAUAAAUCAUCAUGUCUAAAUCACAUGGGUUUUAUAAUGGCCAUUAUAGAAAAAAUUUACAACAAAUUUCUAAAGAAGAAAUAAAAAAUAAAAGUAUAUUACCCAGUUUAAUUUUAAAUCACGUCUUCGGUUGGUUGUGUCUUUAAAAUCUCCUGCAUAGUGUACUAAAUUCUUGACAAAAUUGGCAAGUAUUGUUAUUACAGUGAAAAACGCAAACAGAUGAAUUGAAGACACAUUUCUAAAAUACACAUGUGUUGAGUAGGUGUGGAUUAUACACUCAAGAAACGUACGCAUAUACAUGCUUACGAUUUAGUUCAAUGGAAUCAACUUGUAAUCUGUCAUCUGAUAUGCAUUAUCUUUAACAAAAAUAUGCAGAGCUUCGGUAUUGUAUUUCUAAAUCAAUGAACACCCAGUGGAUGGAAUAACUCUGUAACAAGCAGGAAAUGACAGAAUGUUUCUAGUGAAUAAGAAAAAGUAAUACAAUUAUUUUGAUCAAGACUGGAAGAAUUUUCAUGAAAUCUUUGUAAAGUAUUUAUAUUCAAGAAAAUGGAAUUGACGUGACACACAUUUAUAAUAAAGCCAUAGUAUAGGCAUAAAAAUUAUAGAAAUCUUGAGUAAAUAUUAGUUUGUGAAAUAGCAUCUUAUAGAAGGUAGAAAGAUAUGUUUCAGAACAAAGAAAGAAAACAAGAGAAAUAAAUACAAAUGUGACUUUACAUCUUAGUUUAAGAAUUUUUCCAAAUUCCAUACAUAUUCCAUUUCUGUUGGCGAUGUAGCCAUGCAGAGGGCUCCUACACCCAUAUUUGGUGGAACUGUUAGAAGUUAAAGCGGCACUGUCAUGCCGAAUCCUGUUUUUUUUAACCCCCCUCUGGCCUCUACUAUCUCUAAUUGACCCCCUAGUCACCCCCAAAUGCCCCUAAGCCCCCCACAUUACCUAUUAUGUGUUCCUUAUUUUCUGCCCCGAUCUAUAUCCAGGGCGCCACCAUCUUUGUGUGGGUAGAUGAAGUCCCUGCGGGACACGUCAUCGGCCCACACUAGACAGACUGUGAGAUUCCCGCACAUGCCCAGUGAAAUACCUGGACAUGCGAACGGGAAUUUCAUCUAUUCAUUCAUUCAUCAGACAGACGAAUGAGUGAAUAGAAAUAUCAGCCGAACAAACAUACACUGAAUAUCUGAGUAUUAGUGUUUGUUUGUUCGUUGAGUUUAUUACAAGGAGGGAGCUAGCGGCGUGCAGCUCCCUCCUUGUAAUACGUAAAGAUAGAAGCGGCAGGGAGCUGUGCUCCCCACCACUUCAUAAGCCCCCCCAGAUCCCCCCUCACUCUCUGGGGGUCAAUAUGACCCCCAUAAUAGCAUAAGGGAGAUUAAAAUCUCCCCAAUGCCCCUACUCGCUAUACCGUGUCCACUAAACAGUGAGCAGCCUGUGGCUGCUCACUGUAAAAAAACAAAAAAAAACUAUUGGCCCCCACCCCUAAACAACGGGUGGGGGCCCUAAAGUAAAAUAAGGAGGGAGACCUAAUGUCCCCCCCCCGGCCCCCACCCCUGGGCGGCGGGUGGGGGCCCUAAGUCAAUUCCCCCCCCCCAAGGUGACUAGGUGUCCCCAAGCCCCUAGUCACCCCCUCCACCCAAAUAAAAAGUCCCUACCUACCCCCCUCACCCUAAAAAAUAGGGGGGAGUAAAAUAAAAUUAAACUUACCAUUCGAUGUCUUCUUUUUUCUCAAAUCUUCAUUUGUCAGCCCCAAAAAAGGCCAAAUAAAAAACCAUCAUAACCGUCGAAUUUAAAUAAAUAAAAAUCCCGAGCGCAAAAAAAAAAAAAACAGACGAAAAAGAAAAAACCAGAGCGCAAAAAAAUAAUCCAUCUUCACCCAUGGAGGGCUCCGCGCAGACUGAACUCCGCAGGGCGGGUGAAGGCUUAUAAAGCCUUGCCCUGCCCUGCCCUGCAAUUAGGCUAAGAACACUCUGAUUGGUGGGUUUAAGCCAAUCAGAGUGCUCUUUGUGAUUUUACACAGCGUGGGAAAAUUCAAAAGAACUUUCCCACGCUGUGUAAAAUGACACAGAGCACUGUGAUUGGAUGGCUUGAAAUCCAUCCAAUCACAGUGCUCUGUGUCAUUUUACACAGCGUUGGAAAGUUCUUUGGAACCAUAAGACAAAUCAGACUGGCACUGGGGGAAUAAUUUAUAUGUUAAGCCGUUCAAAAACGGUUUAGGAUAAUAAGGUAAGACUGAGGUAAGACUGAGCCCAUGUCUUCUAGCCCCGUAUCAAUGUCAAUGAAUAAGGUAACAAAGUUCUUCCUUCAAGUUAAAGUUGUUUUGGUGGUUUUGAGUAUCCCUUUAAAAGAAGCUGCCACUACCUAUGAUUUAAAUAUGUAUUUGUGAGGUGUGAAAAAAUAAACGUUAGGUGUAGAAAUCCAUAACUCUUUAUCCUGCCUUCGACUUGACUCUCUGUCAAUCAUUGUUAUAAACUUUGUCAUUUGCAAAUGACAGUCAGCAUAGAGAAAGCAUACAGAGAAAAGAAGAAAUGACAAACAAAAUUUCAAUAUCUCCUACUCAUUUGCAAUGUUUGCCCUGAUUUUGCCAUGUCUGAAAUGGAAUAUGAUGUAAAUUGACACUGUAAGCACCAUGGCUGUGGAGGAGGGGGGUCAGUUUGACAAACAAAGAGGGACUGCACCCAAAAAUUCUCUACACCAUAACCACUAAAACAAGUUAUUGUGGAAAUGGAGAUAUGAGUGCACCUUUAAUUAGAUUUCUUUUUCAAAUAAUGGAACACUGAUUUAUUCUUCUACAAUCUUUUUGGGAGAAUAUGUAUUUUAAUUUAAAAUUAUGCAAACUUUUGACCUGGUACACUGAUUUAUUCUUCUAAAAUCUUUUUGGGAGAAUAUGUAUUUUUAAUUUAAAAUUAUGCAAAUUUUGAAUCAGGAGUUAAUGAUACCAUAUAGAUAAUCUGAAGGAUUUAGUAAAUUGCCAAAGACAGAGACUGCCAUGUAAUUAUUUUCAAUGCAACUAGAUACAAUUUCAUUCUUUUAGGUCAUCAGGGAUGUUAGAAGCGCAGUUGUGCGUCAAAGAAUUAAGUUCAUGAUCAGUUCAGGCUCUGAUUCCGUUUCAUUGAUGCACUAGUGGUGUAGUUAUAUUAUUGUUACUAUAACUUAUUGAAUAUUUUGAUUUUAGCACAUUUGUAUAACGGCAAAUGCCUUGAUAAAUGCUGCUUUGAUUACGAGCCCAGAUGUCAGUGCUUCUCCAAGUCUUUGCUUGUCCUCAGUUGCCCCAAAGAACAAUGGCCUCUUGGUGCCAAAAGGUUAACUGUUAUUUGCGUUAUACUUAGGAUAAAUGUCCAGAUGUUCAAAAAUACAAUCAAAGCCAGCAAUACCUCUCUUAAAGAUAAACAAUGGGAAAACAAAAAAACUACCCAACCCCACAUUAUAUAUAUAUUCAAAAUUAUGCAAACAUGUUAAAUAUACUUAUCUUAAAUGUUCCUCUACAAGUAGAGAACCGUGGAACUGGGAAGAUUCCUUCCUACCAGAAACCUCUCAUUAUAGUCUGUGGGGUCUCAUCUUAUUCCAUAAAUCUCUGUCAGUGGUUUAUGGACUAAGUAUUUUAUCUGAAAUAGCAGGUCUUCUCAUAACAUAGGAUGAGUGAAUCUGCUCAAAAUAUGGAUAGCAGCUAUACUGUGGAUGCCAUCCAUUUAUACACAGCUUGGUUUACAGGUUUGUUGGGAGUUCACAAUUUUAUAUUAAAUUAUUAAUUUCAAAAUAACUGAGUGGGAAACUAAGCUAACAUGGAGAAUAUUAACAAUUUAGUAAUUUUGGACUGACUUUGCAAUUCCAUUGUCAAUGUCCAGACAACCCAUAUAUAGGCUGUGUUAGAAAACCCAAUACAAUCAAAAGAUACCAUAAGUUUAAGUCUACCUUAAUUGGAGACCUGUGUAAAGAGACAAGAGAAGACUGGAUGCAGAAAAUGAUUAAAGGGACACUAUAGGCACCCAGACAACAUUAUCUAAUUGAAGCGGUCUGGGUGCAGUGUCCCUGUCCCCUCAGCUCUGCAAUGUAAAAUAUUGCUGUUUUAGAGAAACUGUAAUGUUUAUAUUGGAGGGAUAAGUAGUUGUUGUCAGACAGCCACCAGAGAUGUUUUUUGCAUUCAGACGGAGUUUAACUGGAGGCACUGAAAAGAGGUAUAUUUUUUAUCUAUUUAUUGUUUAACCUUUUUAACAUCGGGAAGGGAGGCAUGGAUGGACAAUAAAUUUAUGCUUGAAGGACACUGUAGUUUUAGGAAUACACUUUUGUAUUCAUAAUGCGAUAAUGUUCCUUUAACCCUUUUCUAUGACAAUAAAACAAAAGAUGAAUAAAAGUGUUUUUUAUGUCUACAAGCAUAUGUUAGGUGUUAUUGUGCAAGAAAUCUAGAACUUGGUAGAACUUUGCCAGGCGCCCCCUACUAUCCCGUCACUUAUAAAGUGUGAUAGGUACGUGCAUUUUCUACGUUUGUGCGUGUGAGAGAGCAUGGCGGUGACGUAGGCUCCUGGAAGUCACCAAGUGCUUAAAGCGACCCUUUCAUUUGUGUAAUAUUUCAUAAAGAAAAAAUCUCUUUAAUACUAAUAUGUGCUGCUCUAAAGCAGGCUUGGCACAUUAAGGGGGGUGCAAAAUGUGGAACAGACCCCCAAAGUGUCAUAAACACUUUAAGAUAUAACAGAGGGGUAUACACCCCAUAUCAGCAGGCAUGGCAGUGGCUCCUUAGGUUGGGUGGGAUACAGUAUCCCUCCUCCUAUGACAGUGCUGCUCUCUAUGAAAAUCUACACUGACUGUAAACAGAUACAUAAUGGACCAAAGGCAGAGCUCAAGGCUAUUUAGAGCUUUGGCAAUCUUCAUGCUUUGCCCUGAGCCAUGACUGUCUUUUAUUUCUACAGCUGAGGAUCUAUUUUUUGGUUCUUGCAUCCUGCGCCAUACAAUGCAUUGAGGGUGUCACGGUAUGCGUAUCCCUCCGCGGCGGCCCCGUUACAGCGCUACAUAUUCCUCCGCGGACUCGCUGCCGCUGGCUGCGUGUAGCAGCGCUGGGUAGGAGGCUGGUGGGGGCGUGGNNNNNNNNNNNNNNNNNNNNNNNNNNNNNNNNNNNNNNNNNNNNNNNNNNNNNNNNNNNNNNNNNNNNNNNNNNNNNNNNNNNNNNNNNNNNNNNNNNNNACACACUGCCCCCCAUACACUCCCCCCAUACACACACAUUGCCCCCAAUACUGCUCCCCUUAGACACACACUGCCCCCCAUACACACACACACUGCCCCCCAUACACACACUGCCCCCCAUACAGCCCCCCCAUACACACAUACUGCCCCCAUACACACACAUUGCCCCCCAUACUGCCCCCCUUACACACACAUUGCCCCACACACUGCCCCCCAUACACACACUCUGCCCACCCCAUACACAUACACUCUACACACAUACACUAUCCCCAUACACACACACUGUAUGGACUCAGCAGUCUGUGUGUGUGUGUAUGGACUCAGCAGUCUGUGUGUGUGUGUGUGUGUGUGUAUGGACUCAACAGUCUGUGUGUAUGGACUCAACAGUCUGUGUGUAUGGACUCAACAGUCUGUGUGUAUGGACUCAGCAGUCUGUGUGUAUGGACUCAGCAGUCUGUGUGUAUGGACUCAGCAGUGUGUGUGUAUGGACUCAGCAGAGUGUGUGUUUGUGUAUGGACUCAGCAGUCUGUGUGUUUGUGUAGACUCAGCAGUCUGUGUGUGUGUAUGGACUCAGCAGAGUCUGUGUGUGUAUGGACUCAGCAGAGUCUGUGUGUGUAUGGACUCAGCAGAGUCUGUGUGUGUGUGUGUGUGUGUAUGGACUCAGCAGUGUGUGUGUGUGUAUGGACUCAGCAAUCUGUGUGUGUAUGGACUCAGCAAUCUGUGUGUGUGUGUAUGUGUAUGGACUCAGCAGUCUGUGUGUGUGUAUGGACUCAGCAGCCUAUCGAUAAUUAAAAUUCCUGUGAGUUGUUGUGUAGGAAGGGCCCCAGUGCAUUGCUUUGCCCAGGGGCCCUUAACUCUGUUAAAAUGGUACUGCUUGCGUGUGUCAGUGAGCUUCUAUUUAGUGAGCAUGUGUGUGUCAGUGAGCUUGUCUUUAGUGAGCUUGUGUGUGUGUCCCUGAACUUCUUUGUAGUGAGCCUUCUGUUUAUACAAGUGAGUGUCUGUAGUAAGCUUGUGUGUGAGUCAGAGAGUUUUGUCUGUCAGUAAGCCUAUUUGCGCAUGUCAGUGAGCUUGUGUGCUUACUGUACUAUAUAUAUGUACUAUAUAUAAAAAACGUAUGCCA
RNAcentral lists this long non-coding RNA (49751 nucleotides) under Pelobates cultripes (western spadefoot toad). The record is from RNAcentral. Lineage: Eukaryota; Metazoa; Chordata; Amphibia; Anura; Pelobatidae.